This 47395-nucleotide long non-coding RNA is filed under the name Triticum aestivum (bread wheat). RNAcentral's name for it is "long non-coding RNA (TAES_LNC003598)". The record is from RNAcentral. Lineage: Eukaryota; Viridiplantae; Streptophyta; Magnoliopsida; Poales; Poaceae.
GUAGUUAAUCCAUCAGAAGCACCAUCUCGUGGCACUGACCAUACAUUGUUAGCAACCAAGAGCUAAACAAACACCACACAAAAUAGAAGGCCAAUGCUGAUCAUAGUACCAACAGCGGCUGGUCUUUCGCAAGCACCACAUUAAAGUUUUCUGGGGUCGGUGUAACGGAACAUCGCAUUGCAAGCAAUACGGCACGACAAAAGGGACGAUGGACCUAGGAAGAAGCUUCACCAUCUAACACAUGUCGAGACGUCCAUUCGCUAGACCGUCAAUGCGAGAGCACAUCUAACCAACACACCGUGGUCCUGCAAUAACACAAGUUCAAGUAAGAGCCAAAUCGUGUACAACACAGGAGGUAGCCGACGAUAUAAAAGGUACCUAGCUGACACACCAAAAUAAUGAUCCACCUAGGGCCGUUUGGACUACAGCUUGGCCCUUUUAGUCGCAGACGUCUCAUCUUCAUCCUCCGCCAGGCUUUCAGUUGAUUUGCUUCAAGAACAAAUAACAAUUAUGUACAAGAAGUAGAAAAAUGAUGCAUAUAUUGUUAAAUACUCGUAUCAACCUACACCCAGAUACCUCAACGUAGCAGCAAGCUCACCACCGAGACCAGCAGAGUGUAAUUCAGUUUUUCGAGCCCCUGGCAGGCAUAAACGGAUAUUCCUUGUCAACUUACCAUCAAACAACUAUGUGAAUAGGUUUGGAUGUAUUUUUGAUGUCUACUACACAACCUUCUUCUUGUAGACGUUGUUGGGCCUGCAAGUGCAUAGGUUUGUAGGACAGUAGAAAAUUUCCCUCAAGUGGAUGACCUAAGGUUUAUCAAUCCGUAGGAGGUGUAGGAUGAAGAUGGUCUCUCUCAAACAACCCUGCAACCAAAUAACAAAGAGUCUCUUGUGUCCCCAACACACCCAAUACAAUGGUAGAUUGUAUAGGUGCACUAGUUCAGCGAAGAGAUGAAGAUACAAGUGCAAUAUGGAUGGUAGAUAAAGGUAUUUGUAAUCUGAAAUUAUAAAAACAGCAAGGUAACAAGUGAUAAAAGUGAGCAUAAACGGUAUUGCAAUGAUAGGAAACAAGGCCUAGGGUUCAUACUUUCACUAGUGCAAGUUCUCUCAACAAUAAUAACAUAGAUAGAUCAUAUAACAAGCCCUCAACAUGCAACAAAGAGUCACUCCAAAGCCACUAAUAGCGGAGAACAAACAUAGAGAUUAUGGUAGGGUACGAAACCACCUCAAAGUUAUUCUUUUGGAUCGAUCUAUUAAAGAGUUCGUACUAGAAUAACACCUUAAGACACAAAUCAACCAAAACCCUAAUGUCACCUAGAUACUCCAUUGUCACCUCAAGUAUCCGUGGGCAUGAUUAUCCGAUAUGCAUCACACAAUCUCAUAUUCAUCCAACCAACACAAAGUACUUCAAAGAGUGCCCCAAAGUUUCUACUGGAGAGUUAAGAACGUGUGCCAACCCCUAUGCAUAGGUUCAUGGGCGGAACCCGCAAGUUGGUCACCAAAACAUACAUCAAGUGGCACAUGAUAUCCCAUUGUCACCAUAGAUAAACACGGCAAGACAUACAUCAAGUGUUCUCAAAUAAAGACUCAAUCCGAUAAGAUAACUUCAAGAGGGAAACUCAAUUCAUCACAAGAGAGUAGAGGGGGAGAAACAUCAUAAGAUCCAACUAUAAUAGCAAAGCUCGGGAUACAUCAAGAUCGUGCCAUAGAGGGAACACGAGAGAGAGAGAUCAAACACAUAGCUACUGGUACAUACCCUCAGCCCCGAGGGUGAACUACUCCCUCCUCGUCAUGGAUAGCGCCGGGAUGAUGAAGAUGGCCACCGGUGAUGGGUUCCCCCUCUGGCAGGGUGCCAGAACGGACUCCCGAGAGGUUUUUGGUGGCUACAGAGGCUUGCGGCGGCGGAACUCCUGAUCUAUCUUGAUAUUCGAUGGUUUUAGGGUACGCAGGCUUAUAUAGGCAAAAGAAGUCGGUCGGGGGGUGCUCGAGGGGUCCACGANNNNNNNNNNNNNNNNNNNNNNNNNNNNNNNNNNNNNNNNNNNNNNNNNNNNNNNNNNNNNNNNNNNNNNNNNNNNNNNNNNNNNNNNNNNNNNNNNNNNNNNNNNNNNNNNNNNNNNNNNNNNNNNNNNNNNNNNNNNNNNNNNNNNNNNNNNNNNNNNNNNNNNNNNNNNNNNNNNNNNNNNNNNNNNNNNNNNNNNNNNNNNNNNNNAUCUUCUGACGUGAACUCCAAGUCUCCAGGAUGAUAAUCUUCCAAAAAAAUCAUGUUGCCGAAGGUUUCAUUCCGUUUGGACUCCGUUUGAUAUUCCUUUUCUUCGAAAUACUGAAACAUGCAAUAAAACAACAAUAUGGGCUGGGCCUCCGGUUAAUAGGUUAGUCCCAAAAGUAAUAUAAAAGUGUAUAAUAAAGCCCAUAAUCAUUCAAAACAGAUAAUAAAAUAGCAUGAAUGCUUCAUAAAUUAUAGAUUCGUUGGAGACGUAUCAGCAUCCCCAAGCUUAAUUCCUACUCGUCCUCGAGUAGGUAAAUGAUAAAGAAAGAAUUUAUGAAGUGUGAAUGCUAGAAGGUGCGCAAGUUUGAUCAAUGAUAAUUUCAAUCACCUUUACUAGCAUCAUUAUAUGUCAUAACAGUAGUUCAUCUUAUAAAACUUUUAAUGAUCAAGUAACAAGCAAUUCACAUGUUAAAGCAUAGACCAUAAACUUUCUUGAAAGCUAGCAAACUUCAUUCUUAGUCAUCAAAACAAUUGCAAUUCAUCCUAUUUUCAGGAAGGGUCUAUGUCAGAGCUUUAAUUUAGCAAACUUCACAUACUCAACUAUCAUAUAGUCUUCUACAAUUGCUAACACUCAUGCAAUACUUGUGGUUAUGAAGUUUUAAUCAGACAUAGAGAAAUAUUGGGGCUUAUAAUGUUGCCUCCAAACGUAUUCACCUUUGGGCGAUGUCAACAAUAAUAGUUCAUGCUAACGUACAUCCAAUUGGAUAUAUAUAUAAGGAUCACCCCAACACAAAGUGCUUGCCAAAGGAUAAAAUGGAAAAGGGAAAGGUGAAGAUCACCUUGACUCUUGCAUAAAGUAAAAGACAUAAAGUAAAAGAUCGUCCCUUCGCAGAGUGAAGCAGAGGUUGUCAUGCGCUUUUAGGGUUGGAUACACAAAAUCUUAAUGCGAAAGAACGUCACUUUAUAUUGCCCCUUGUAUAUGGACCUUUAUUAUGCAGUUCGUCGCUUUUAUUGCUUCCAUAACAAGUUCGUACAAAGCUUAUUUUCUCCACACUAAUAAGUCAUGCAUAUUUAGAGAGCAAUUUUUAUUGCUUGCACCGAUGACAACUUACUUGAAGGAUCUUACUCAAUCCAUAGCUAGAUAUGGUGGACUCUCAUGGCAAAACUGGGUUUAAGGAUAUUUGGAAGCACAAGUAGUAUCUCUACUUGGUGCUAGGAAUUUUUGGCUAGCAUGAGGGGGAAAGGCAAGCUCAACAUGUUUGAAUGAUCCAUGACAAUAUACUUUAACUGAGAUGUGAGAAAACAUAACCCAUUACAUUAUCUUCCUUGUCCAACAUCAACUCUUUAGCAUGUCAUACAUAAUGAGUUCUCACAAUUGUAAAAGAUGUCUAUGAUAAUAUAUUUAUAUGUGAAAUCUCUCUUCCUUCAAUAUUCUUUCAUGAAUUGUUCAAAUGACUAAUACAAUGCUUGCUAAUCGUCAAUAAAUUUACAACCUCUACUUCUUAGAUGUGAAGUCAUUACUCCCCAUGGGAUAAGCAAAUGAAACAUAUAUAAAUUCAGAUUUAUGACAUUCAACUCAUUCAACAAUUUACUCAUAGGAUAUACGUGAAGCACACGAGUAAAUCAAAAGCUACUCCAAAAAGAUAUAAGUGAAGAUCGAUGAGUAGCUAAAUAAUUAUGCAACUAUGUGAAGACUCUCUCUCAUUAAAGAAUUUUAGAUCUUGGUAUCUUAUUCAAACAGCAAGAAAACAAAAUAAAAUGACAUUGCAAGGAUAGAACAACUCAUGUGAAGAAGCAAAAAACUUAGUCUCAACCGAUACUAAUCGAUAGUUGUUGAAGAAGAAAGGUGGGAUGCCUAACAGGGCAUCCCCAAGCUUAGAUGCUUGAGACUUCUUGAAAUAUUAUCUUGGGGUGCCUUGGGCAUCCCCAAGCUUGAGCUUUUGUGUCUCCUUAAUUCCUCUCAUAACUUGGUUUCUUUUUAUCAAAAGCUUCAUUCACAACAAACUCAACAAGAACUCAUGAGAUAGGUUAGUAUAAACCAAUGCAAAACCUUAUCAUUUUCUACUGUAACAAAUCACUAAAAUUAUUAUUCAACAUUGCAUACUAAAUGCCUCUUCAUAUUUAAUACUCCUAUCCUCAAAUAGAAUCAUUAAACAAGCGAACAUAUGCAAACAAUGCAACCAUAACAGCAAUCUGCCAAAACAGUAUAGUCUGCAAAGAAUGCAAGAUUCAUAAUACUUCCCUCACUCCAAAAAUUAUGAGAAAAAUACUACGCUGUAGAAGAUUUGUCAGAGCUCAAUAUGCAAAAAGAUUCAACAUCAUACCAUUCUCUAACUUUUCUAGGGAAUUUUUGCAACAGCGGUAAACUUUCUGUUUUCAAACAGCAACAUGUAUACUAGCAAAAUAAGCAUGGCAAAGGCUAUCCUUGACAUUUUUAUUGAAACUAAAGAUGCAAAACAUUAAUCUAAAUAACAUCAAGCGAAUACUAACAAAAGCAAAUGACGCUCCAAGCAAAACACAUAUCAUGUGGCGAAUAAAAAUAUAGCUCCAAGUAAAGUUACCGAUGAACGAAGACGAAAGAGGGGAUGCCUUCUGGGGCAUCCCCAAGCUUAGGCUCUUGCCACUCCUUAUUCCAUAGUCCAUCGAAUCUUUACCCAUAACUUGAAAACUUCAACCACACAAAACUCAAAACAGAACUCGUAAGCUCCGUUAGUAUAAGAAAAUAAAACCACCACUUAGGUACUGUAAUGAACUCAUUCUAAAUUCAUAUUGGUGUUAAACCUACUGUAUUCCAAGUUCUCUAUGGUUCAUACCCUCCGAUACUACUCAUAGAUUCAUCAAAAUAAGAAAACAACACAAUGAAAACAGGAUCUGUCAAAAACAGAACAGUCUGAAGUAAUCUGUAUCAAACGUAUACUUCUGGAAUCCCAAAAAUUAUGAAAUAAAUAGCUGGACCUGAGGAAUUUGUCUAUUAAUCAUCUGCAAAAAGAAUCAACCUAAAAUCACUCUCCAGUAAAAAAAUGGCAGCUAUUCUCGUGAGCGCAAAAGUUUCUGUUUUUUAUAGCAAGAUCAUAUAGACUUCACCCAAGUCUUCCCAAAGGUUCUACUUGGCACUUUAUUGAAACAAAUGCUAUAAAACAUGAUUACUAAAGUAGCAUAAUCAUGUGGACACACAAAAACAGUAAGGGUAAAUAUUGGGUUGUCUCCCAACAAGCGCUUUUCUUUAAUGCCUUUUUAGCUAGGCAUGAUGAUGGCAAUGAUGCUCACAUAAAAGAUAAGAAUUGAAACAUAAUGGGAGCAUCAAGAAGCAUAUGACUAGCACAUUUAAGCCUAACCCACUUCCUAUGCAUAGGUAUUUUGUGAGCAAACAACUUAUGGGAACAAUAAUCAGCUAGCAUAGGAAGGUAAAACAAGCAUAGCUUCAAGAUUUUCAACACAUAGAGAGGAAACUUGAUAUUAUUGUAAUUCCUACAAGCAUAUGUUCCUCCCUCAUAAUAAUUUUGAGUAGCAUCAUGAAUGAAUUCAACAAUAUAACCAGCACCUAAAGCAUUCUUUUCAUGAUCUACAAGCAUAGAAAAUUUACUACUCUCCACAUAAGCAAAAUUCUUCUCAUUCGGAAUAGUGAGAGUAUCAUAAGAGACUUGAACACUAAAAAUUGUUUCCACAUUAAAAGAGUAAUGUUCAGAAAAAGGGUAAUCAUAAUCAUGACAAGUUUUAUAAAUAUCAUCAUCACUACUUUUUAUAGCAUAAGUUUCAUCACAAUAAUCAUCAUAAGUAGCAACUUCGUUCUCAUCAUAAUCGAUUGAAACCUCUCCCAAGAUAGUGGAAUCAUCACUAAAUAAAGUUGACACUCUUCCAAAUCCACUUUCAUAAAUAUUAUAAGAUUCAACAUCCUCCAAAAUUGUGGGAUCACUACUUCCGAAAGUUGACACUCUUCCAAACCCACUUUGAUCAAUAUAAUCAUCAUAGGUACAAGGCAUGCUAUCAUCAUAACAACUUUGCAUAUGAAAACUUGGGAGGCUAAAAAUAUCAUCUUCAUUAAACGUAGCAUCCCCAAGCUUGGGACAAACAUUAAUUUCAGCAAAUAUAUUCUCAAAUAUUUCAUACUCAUAAAACAUAGCUUCCCCAAGCUUGGGUCCUUCCAUAUCAUAAGCAUAAUCACUCUCAUCGUUAAAAAUAUGGAUAGCACCAAUAGUAAAGCAAUUAUCAUCAUCACAAUAAGUAGUAGGAGCAACAUCAUUUGGGAGGGGUACCUUUUUACCUUUGUUGCUCCUUCUUUUCUUUUUCUUCUUCACAUUAUGUGUGGGUUCAACCUUCCUCUUUGAGCUCCUUAUAGAUGAGAUUGGUUGAAUAAAAAGCUCCUCCUCCUUACCUGGUUCAUCAUAAGAAAUAAUAGGAGGAUAUUGGGAAGUCUCUUUCCUUUCAUUAGUAUUCUCAUCAUCUUCUAUUUGCUUUCUUUUCUUUAGGUAAUUGGCAAUAUAAGGAUUUUCAAUGCAAUUCUCCGCACAAAACAUAUAAAUCUUUUCUAGAUCAAUAUCAAGGAAAUGCUUAAGAUUAAAUUCUGGAAUAGGCUUAGUUAAACGUUUCAACUCUUCAUAACCCAAAAGCAAUCUAAGUUCAUUGUAAUGAGAAAGGGAGACCAAAUCAUCACAAUUUUUGGACACGAUCCGAUCAUGAAACAAUUUGCAUUGGAGAUGUAAAUGAUCUUGUUUAUUGCAAAAUUCACAACGGGAAAGAUAUCUUAAAUUCUCCGCACUCUUAUCUAGACUUUCUUGCAACCUCUUAGUUUCUAAAUGCUUAUGCCUCUUGCAAUAAAUAUCUUCUAUAUUUGGUGUGUUCAUGCAAACAUGCACUCCACAAAAGUUGACAUGCUCAUAAGAGAUAUUUUCAUCAUGACUAGAGCAAUCAUCAUUAAUACUAUGGAUAUUCAACGAGUUUAUACUAACAACAUUGCAAUGAUGCUCAUCAUUCAAAGAUUUAGUACCAAGCAUUUUAAUGCAUUCUUCUUCUAGCACUUGAGCACAAUUUUCCCAUCAAACUCAUGAAAGAUAUUAAAAAUACGAAGCAUAUGAGACAAACUCAACUCCACUUUUUGGUAGUUUUCUUUCAUAAACUAAACUAGUGAUAAAACAAGAAACAAAAAGAUUCGAUUUCAAGAUAUAAAGAUAUACCUUCAAGCACUCACCUCCCCGGCAAUGGCGCCAGAAAAGAGCUUGAUGUCUACUACACAACCUUCUUCUUGUAAACGUUGUUGGGCCUGCAAGUGCACAUGUUUGUAGGACAGUAGCAAAUUUCCCUCAAGUGGAUGACCUAAGGUUUAUCAAUCCGUAGGAGGCGUAGGAUGAAGAUGGUCUCUCUCAAACAACCCUGCAACCAAAUAACAAAGAGUCUCUUGUGUCCCCAACACACCCAAUACAAUGGUAGAUUGUAUAGGUGCACUAGUUCGGCGAAGAGAUGAAGAUACAAGUGCAAUAUGGAUGGUAGAUAAAGGUAUUUGUAAUCUGAAAUUAUAAAAACUGCAUGGUAACAAGUGAUAAAAGUAAGCGUAAACGGUAUUGCAAUGAUAGGAAACAAGGCCUAGGGUUCAUACUUUCACUAGUGCAAGUUCUCUCAACAAUAAUAACAUAGAUAGAUCAUAUAACAAGCCCUCAACAUGCAACAAAGAGUCACUCCAAAUCCACUAAUAGAAGAGAACAAACGUAAAGAUUAUGGUAGGGUACGAAACCACCUCAAAGUUAUUCUUUCGGAUCGAUCUAUUAAAGAGUUCGUACUAGAAUAACACCUUAAGACACAAUCAACCAAAACCCUAAUGUCACCUAGAUACUCCAUUGUCACCUCAAGUAUCCGUGGGCAUGAUUAUACGAUAUGCAUCACACAAUCUUAGAUUCAUCCAACCAACACAAAGUACUUCAAAGAGUGCCCCAAAGUUUCUACCGGAGAGUCAAGAACGUGUGCCAACCCCUAUGCAUAGGUUCAUGGGCGGAACCCGCAAGUUGGUCACCAAAACAUACAUCAAGUGGCACAUGAUAUCCUAUUGUCACUACAGAUAAACACGGCAAGACAUACAUCAAGUGUUCUCAAAUAAAGACUCAAUCCAAUAAGAUAACUUCAAGAGGGAAAUUGUAUUCAUCACAAGAGAGUAGAGGGGGAGAAACAUCAUAAGGUCCAACUAUAAUAGCAAAGCUCGGGAUACAUCAAGAUCGUGCCAUAGAGGGAACACGAGACAGAACACGAGAGAGAGAGAUCAAACACAUAGCUACUGGUACAUACCCUCAGCCCCGAGGGUGAACUACUCCCUCCUCGUCAUGGAUAGCGCCGGGAUGAUGAAGAUGGCCACCGGUGAUGGGUUCCCCCUCCGGCAGGGUGCCGGAACGGACUCUCGAGAGGUUUUUGGUGGCUACAGAGGCUUGCGGCGGCGGAACUCCCGAUCUAUCUUGAUAUUCGAUGGUUUUAGGGUACGUAGGCUUAUAUCGGUGAAAGAAGUCGAUCGGGGGGUGCUCGAGGGGUCCACGAGACAGGGGGGCGCGCCCAGUAGGGGGCGCGCCCCCUAUCUCCUGGGCUCCUCGAGUAUCUUCUGACGUGAAAUCCAAGUCUCCAGGAUGAUAAUCUUCCAAAAAAUCACGUUGCCGAAGGUUUCAUUCCGUUUGGACUCUGUUUGAUAUUCCUUUUCUUCGAAAUACUGAAAUAGGCAAUAAAACAACAAUAUGGGCUGGGCCUCCGGUUAAUAGGUUAGUCCCAAAAGUAAUAUAAAAGUGUAUAAUAAAGCCCAUAAUCAUUCAAAACAGAUAAUAAAACAGCAUGAAUGCUUCAUAAAUUAUAGAUACAUUGGAGACGUAUCAAUUUUCACCAAGCAAACAAAAGGAAAUACCUGAGCACAGCCAUCGGGAAACAAGGGUUUACACAACACAGACUUAGGUAGACCACUUGCUGGCACUCUCUUUAUACCAACAUUGCAGGUCACAGACCCAACAAAUUCACAUCACAUAUCUAGAAUCGUUUGUUUACGCCAUCUUGGAUCACUUUUGUUGGAACAACUCAUACCUUUUGUUGACUGAGGCCGGGGAAGAAUUACUCUUCUUUCCUUCAGGGAUGGUAAGUUCAUAGAAAAAAAAUACACGCGGCAGUUCGGUAGAUCAAUACGGUCAAGGCAAAUGCAUAGUUGUUGUCUGUCCCUGGAAGACAAUCUUUUCUAUAGGAGAGAACUUGCCCUGGAGCCUUUAGCAAUAAGAUCGAGAACAGAAGCAUAUGACCAAAUCAGGCAAAGGACAACACAUAAUUAGCGGAGAUAAACGGAUAGCAUGUACCUCUUAUGGAAGUCUAUCAUCUCAGAAAUGUCAUCAUUUAUGUACCACCGACACACUGCACUUCCCUCACACCCCUUCGACCUACAGACCGCAACCAAAGACAUAACACGUCACAUAAACAGACAUGGGCAAAGGAGUAGCCACCUAGUCAACCUAACAAGAGUUCUUACCUUCAUAGGCCUUCACGAGAGUUCCAACAAAUAGUGCAACCACUGGUUCAGUCGAGCCCAGCUCAAUAAUGUAGUCUCCCUGAAAGGUUGUAGCAUGUUCGCCCGAGAGCAGAACAGUUAUCUGGCACCCAUUGCACAAAAUAUAAACAAAAUAUACUGAAAGCAAUGGCAGGCUAAUAGAGACAACAACACAAACAGCAAGCACCUGACAUGGCAAGAUGGCAUACCUAGGUCCAUGAUAGUGAUACAAUGCUUUGUGGAAGGCUCGCUCCUGCUCGAGCUAUGAUACUGAACAACAUCGGAUACACCAGUGAUAACGCUGAGCACAUCUAGACAACCAGAGAAGAGGAAAACAUCUUACAGGCACACACAAUAAACAAAGGAAGACAAUGAUCGUGUAGGCAACACACCCGUGAAGAAUUUAGGUGUCUCGAGAGGUGAAGGGAGGCGUGACAGUUUAGUGAGCGAGUAGGUGCAGAAGGGAAACUGAGCUUCUGGAUCAGUAUUAGGAUCGACCGUAGUGAACCUAUUGAACCUGAUCAUGUGUAUCGCAUCGACAUGCUUGACAUAACAUUUGUUCAGGAACACCGAGAACUGUGAAAUUUCAUAUGCACAUCCUGCCUUCAGUUUUCCCAUAAACUUAGGCACAAGCUUCUCACCAAUCUCAACAUAGAUGUGGUUGCCCUGCCAAGAAACAACAUGCAUCAAUUACCAAGCAUAGAAGGCUGAAGAAAAUUACAACCAAUGCAGGUGCCGAGGCUGGAGAAAUCAUGUACCUAGGCAUCCAAAAGGACCAUGUCAGUGUGUUUGAUAGGACCAUCAUCAGCGUCUCCACAGUGCUGCCACAAACGCGAAACAUACACACAGAUGGUCAAGUUCCUGUCCCCGACAAUAAGAGACCGCAGACCAACCAUCACCAUCUACAACAAAAGGGUCAUCACCAAAACACACGACCACCGUUAAACUAAAUAAACCAGUAUGACAUAAGCCACGCCAAUACAUGCAAACACUCAAAGAAUCAACCCCACCACAUGAAACACACUUAUUCAGCCAUCGCCAAAUGCCGUGUAACAAGAUAUCGUCCAACUCACAAAAGCAUGCCACUGACUACCAAAAUGAAGACCAACGUCGUAUACAAACCUAGGCCAUCCCGGUGGCCCGAAAGACCUCAGGAAAAACAAUGUUUUUGGUCUCAGAACCAAAGUGGCCAUUAGCAUCUAAUAUAAGGAUUUUCAAAGAAGCUCUUGAAGUAACAUGAGACACUGCCACAUACAGCUGCCCGUGCUUAAAAACAUGACCCUUAAGAUAUAUGCCAACAGUAGACAGGGUCUGUCCUUGGCUCUUAUUGAUUGUCAUGGCAUAGCACAAACGAAUAGGAAACUGGCGUCGCUUAAGCACAAAGGGUGCGUUUCCUUUCUUCGCCAAUAACUCAAUCCUGGGGAUAGAAACGGUAUCACCCACAUUGGAGCCAGUCAUAAUAACAACCUUGAUAAGCCGGUCGCCCAAUUCUUUUACGAUCAGCCGUGUACCGUUACACAAACCAUUUGCCUGGCUAAGGUUUCUAAGAAGCAUAAUUGGAACACCAACCUUAAGAGUCAGCAUAUGGUUUGGGAAGUUCAUAAUUUUAGUUGCAUUCAGGUACUCAAGUGGAUAAUAAACUUCUUUGUCUCUAAGAGAAUCUGCAGAGUCGUCAAUAGAAUUAGCACUUAAAUAGUCCCUGCUAUCAGUAGGAACCAAUCUAAUAAUAUAGUCAUUAAUAUCCUCAGCAUGGUCGUUGGUAGGAGCUAAAAUGGCUCUCUCUUGGAAGUAGCCAGAGUUUAGGUAGUUGAGUAAAAAAUCACCAUAGACAGAAGAAACAAUAGCAGCUAUUGGGUCACCGGUCGUACGAACCAAGAAGUCGUCCGGUAUCUGUAUCCAAGAAGCCUCGACAUCAUCGCCUCGCUUUGUAACAGGCAUCUUCCCCUCUCCUAGAUCUAGAACCCAUCUGCUAAACAAGGCAACAUCCUGCCGCGCCUGAAUAUCCGCCCCAGGGACAAAUAAGCGCAUGUUAAUAGAAAGCGACAAUUUCCGAACAGAGCGCCAUAGCAGGGAAUUUGUGAUCGCUGCAUCAAUAAUUUGAGGCCUAGUACCUCCCUCAACAACCGUCAGUGUCAAAACCGGCGGAUCUCGGGUAGGGGGGGGGUCCCGAACUGUGCGUCUAAGGCUAAUGGCAACAGGAGGCGGGGGACACAAUGUUUACCUAGGUUCGUGCCCUCUCUAUGGAGGUAAUACCCUACUUCCUGCUUGAUUGAUCUUGAUGAAUACAAGUAUUACAAGAGUUGAUCUACCACGAGAUCGUAAUGGCUAAACCCUAGAAGUCUAGCCUAUGAGAUUAUGAUGGUUGUGGCUAAACCCUACAAGUCUAAACCCUCCAGUUUAUAUACACAUGGGGGGGCUAGGGUUAUAAAAAGUCGGUUACAAAGAAAGUAAUCUACAUAUCCGAAUCGCCAAGCUUGCCUUCCAUGCAAAGAAGAGUCCCAUCCGGACACGGGACGAAGUCUUCUAUCUUGCAUCUUCAUAGUCCAAUAGUCCGGCCAAAGUAUAUAGUCCGGUUGUCCGAGGACCCCUUAGUCAAGGACUCCCUCAGUAGCCCCUGAACCAGGCUUCAAUGACGAUGAGUCCGGCGCGCAGAUUGUCUUCGGUGUUGCAAGGCGGGUUCCUUAUUCGAAUACUUCAAAGUAGAUCUCGAACACAAGAAUCGUGUCCGGCUCUGCAAAACUAGUUCUAUAAACCACCAUAGAGAGUAUAAUAUUAACGAGUCCGACUCGCUGACAAUUUUGGCGGUACGACAUUACGUCAUUACCUGGCCAUUAUUUCGAAUCAUUUUCUAGCCUGCUACCCCAUGUUUCGGGGGGCGGUUUUUAUUGGCAUGUCUUGUCAAAGCAGAGAUCGUGUCCCCUUAUUACGGGAUUUUCAUAAACACCGGCGUGGGUAACCCAACCGUUCUGUUGGCAUAAUUCCUCGGGAAUAGGCAUGUUUUAAGGCCACAGAGGGGAUGCUUGAUAUUCGUCGCCUUUAUAAAGGGGUUAAGGCCUGUCCUUUUUCUUCCACGCUAGCUCUUUCCUUCACCCCCACCCCAAGUUCCAAUGCCCAAGGGUCAAUCUAGUUGCUUCGAGCUUCCAGCCAUGUCCGGACCUGGCCUUCCAGGCCGAUGGAUGGCCUCUUCUGUCACAGAGGAAGAUAUCUCAAAGCUCAGGGAGGUAAGAUACUUGACUGCGGAAAUCUACCACAUGCUUCCUCCUCAAGGGCAGGUUAUUCCUACUCCCAGAUCCAAUGAGAGGGUAGUGUUCAUCUCUCACUUCCUUCGAGGGCUUGGGUUUGCUCUCCAUCCCUUCGUUCGAGGGGUCAUGUUUUAUUACGGGCUAUAUUUCCACGAUCUAGCCCCGGACUCCUUCCUCCACAUCUCAGCGUUCAUCACCACGUGCGAGGCCUUCCUCCGUAUUUCCCCACACUUCGGCUUAUGGCUUAAGACCUUUAACGUGAAACCGAAGGUAAUCGACGGGAAACAAGCGGAGUGCGGAGGCACUUCAAUAAGCAAGCUUAUCAACUCCACUUGGCCAAAGGGAUCCUUCGCAGAAUCUUAUGACUUAUGGCAACGGGAGUGGUUUUACAUCACCGAACCCCAUGGUAAAAAGCGGGUAGCCACACCGGCGUUUCGGCCCAGCCCUCCGCCACAGCUCACAUCGUGGAUUAACAAGGGGCCAGACUAGGGAUCUGCUAAUGAAGUGCGGAUGCUGCAAAGCCGCAUUCAGAGCCUUAUUAAGAAGGGCACCAGUCUCAUUGAUGUAAUCCAAGUAAUGUUGGUCCGCCGGAUCCUACCCUGCCAGCGACGCCCUCUCCGCAUGUGGGAGUUUAAUCUGGAAGGUCCACGGACCCUUCAGCACCUUUCUGGCACGAUGCUCAGAGAGAUGUGGAAAUUGUUCUUCGGCGCACGAAAACAUUGCCGGAUACUACAAAAUACAUCGGCCUUGACUGCAACCAUCUGGAUACUCCGGUAAGUACUCGACCCCCAAACAUGAUUUAGUCAAAUUAUCCAUGACAAUGUGCUGAUAAAACUUUAUCCGGCCAGGGCUGGCUAAAGAAGGCGGAGAGAAUCAGGUGUUCGACUCCACUUCCCGAAGAUACCGCGGAUCCGUUAUUAACAAGGAUGCUGGCUCCGGCACCGUAUCAAGUGCCGGCGGGGGAAGAUAAAGAGGAGGACGAAGAGGCCCAAGGUAGCUUCCACUCUGGGGGCUCACCAGGCAAUUUGUCCUGGGAGAUUAGAACUCCCGCUUCCAAAGGUGGAAGGGAAGGGUGAAUUGACAUCCCUUCUCCCCAUGGGAAGAAAAGGGCCGCCUCCGAAGACUCGGAAAGAGAAGCUUCUAAGCGGGGGAAGGUAUCCCAGUCAAGGGGUGAUGUUGACACGCAAUCACCCCGUAAAGAUAGGCCCUCGGCCGCAUCGUAAGUGAAUCCAGGUGUUUUAAACAUGUCCCGUUCUUUCCUGGCUAUAAGGGUAAUAUUUUAAACUCAUGUUUGCAGUCCGGCACGCAGCCCUCCUCAACAGUCCUCCUCUCCGGGGGAUCUACUUCCGAAGAUGAUGGAGAGCGAGACGCCUCCAUAGAUAUCCUUGCCUGAUAAGGCAGAUGACGUCAAGGUGUCGUCCCGGAGGAUCCUUCUCGAUCUGCGAGUGGUUCAAGGGACAGUGAGGACUGGGGCCAAAGGUAAUACUUCGGCCACCUAGGGUCCAGGGUGUGCGGCCCAUACAGGGAACAACAAAAGUCCCGGACUAUCGAAUGUCCAAGGGACGCCGGAUACAUUGAUGGACAUUUUGCAACAUGCCUCCGUCUCAGAGGAACAUCAUACCUUGAUGGGUACGGUGUUGGAAAGAGUUUGGUCCGCAAGAAGCGGAUUGAAUGAAGACCUUUUCUAGCCUACUAAGAGGCUUUAAGGUACGUAGUGUAAUUUCAAUUAUGUUGUAAGUGCAAAUUGCACCUGUGUAUAGAUAGUAGCCCCUGAUACGUCUCCAACAUAUCUAUAAUUUUUUAUUGUUCCAUGCUAUUAUAUUACCCAUUUUGGAUGUUUAUGAGCUUUACUUUACACCUCUAUAUCAUUUUUGGGACUAACCUACUAACCGGAGGCCCAACCAGAAUUGCUGUUUUUUUGCCUAUUUCAGUGUUUCAAAGAAAAGGAAUAUCAAAUAGAGUCCAAACGGGAUGAAACCUUUGGGAGCGAUCUUUUUGGAACAAACGCAAUCCACGGGACUUGGAGUGGACGUCAAGCAACAGAGGAGGCGGCCACGAGGGUGCCCGGCGUGCCCUGAUGACCCACAAGUAUAGGGGAUCUAUCGUAGUCCUUUCGAUAAGUAAGAGUGUCGAACCCAACGAGGAGCAGAAGGAAAUGAUAAGCGGUUUUCAGCAAGGUAUUCUCUGCAAGUACUGAAAUAAGUGGUAACAGAUAGUUUUGUGAUAGGAUAAAUUGCAACGAGAAACAAGUAACAAAAGUAAAUAAAGUGCAGCAAGGUGGCCCAAUCCUUUUUGUAGCAAAGGACAAGCCUGGACAAUUCUUAUAAUAGGAAAAGUGCUCCUGAGGACACAUGGGAAUAUCGUCAAGCUAGUUUUCAUCACGCUCAUAUGAUUCGCGUUUGGUACUUUGAUAAUUUGAUAUGUGGGUGGACCGGUGCUUGGGUACUACUCUUACUUGGACAAGCAUCCCACUUAUGAUUAACCUCUAUUGCAAGCAUCCACAACUACAACAAAAGUAUUAAGGUAAACCUAACCAUAUCAUGAAACAUAUGGAUCCAAAUCAGCCCCUUACGAAGCAACACAUAAACUAGGGUUUAAGCUUCUGUCACUCUAGCAACCCAUCAUCUACUUAUUACUUCCCAAUGCCUUCCUCUAGGCCCAAAUAAUGGUGAAGUGUUAUGUAGUCGACGUUCACAUAAUACCACUAGAUGUUAGACAACAUACAUCUUAUCAAAAUAUCAAACGAAUACCAAAUUCACAUGACUACUAAUAGCAAGACUUCUCCCUUGUCCUCAGGAACAAACGUAACUACUCACAAAGCAUAUUCAUGUUCAUAAUCAGAGGGGUAAUAUUGUGCAUAAAGGAUCUGAACAUAUGAUCUUCCACCAAAUAAACCAACUAGCAUCAACUACAAGGAGUAAUCAACACUACUAGCAACCUACUAGCACCAAUCCCGGACUUGGAGACAAGAAUUGGAUACAAGAGAUGAAUUGCAGACAAGAAUUGGAUACAAGAAUUGGUUUAAGGGUAUUUGGAAGCACAAGUAGUAUUUCUACUUAGUGCUGAGAAUUGUCUAGCAUGAGGGGGAAGGGCAAGCUCAACACGGUAGAGGAACCAUGACAACAUACUUUAUCUCAGAUGUAAGAAAACAUAACUCAUUAUGUUGUCUUCCUUGUCCAACAUCAACUCUUUAGUAUGUAAUAUUUUAAUGAGUGCUCCCAAUCAUAAAAGAUGUCAAUGAUAAUAUAUCUAUAUGUGAUACCUCUCUUUCCUUAUUACUUCCUAUCAAUUGCAACGAUGACCAAAGCUAUAUUUGCCAACUCCCAACAACUUUAAAUCAUCAUACUCUUUCUAUGUGAAGUCAUUACUUUCAAUAAGAUCAAUAUGAACUCUUGACUCUUUUUAUUCCUUUUCUUCUAAUCACCCAAGAUCAUGGAAAAAUACUCAAGCCCUUGACUCAACACUAAUUUUUAUUAUAUAGCUCACGGACUCGAUUACAAAGAAGGAUCAUAAAGCAAAAUUCAAAACUAGACCAUGCCAUGACUUUAUUCUACUAAAUCAAGAUAUUACUAAUAAGAUCGAACUAAGAAAAACGGUAAAGAUAGGAGUUGUGAUGGUGAUACGAUACCAGGGCACCUCCCCCAAGCUUGGCAGUUGCGAAGGGGAGUGCCCAUAUCCAUGUGAUUAUGUCUCCUUCUUUGUUGUUGGGGGUGGAGGUGUUGUUGAUGAUGCAAGCUUGUCGUCCAUCUUCCAAGGCAUAGGCUCACCAUCAUAGAAGGAUGAUCGAGUCUCCAAAAUCCUCAAAUCUGCAGCCAAACUCAUCCUUUUGAAUCUAUAUUCAUACUCACAGUUUUGGUUUUGCAGAUCAUAGAUUUGGGCUUGGAGGUGCUAGAUCUUCUCAUGUAGCUUAUAUAUGGCUUCCUCGGUCUUCUUGGCAUCCGUCUCAUAGUUGUUAGUGAACUCCGCAAGCAUCUUGUGGGUAGCGUUGAUUCCACGCUCCACCAUCCCCUGGCACUUGAAAACUUGUUGCUCCAUAGCUUCCAGCCUCAACUCCACGCUUCCGGUUCCCUUUGGUCCCUCAACAUCGCGGAUGUGCAGCAAACCAUCAGGCAUCUCGAUGGUUUGAGGGUGUCGCAACACCUCCGCGAGGUAAGCGUUGAUGACCUUCUCGAAAAAUUUGUCCUUGGAAGCACUUGGGGUCGUCAUGAUGAUCUAGACCUGUCAGAAAAAUAGCUCGAAACAAGAAUAGGGGGGAUUUGCGUGAUAUGGGAGUCAAAACCUCCGGGAGUAUAUAUAAUGAAUUUUUACCGACCAAAAUAAGUAUCGUGCAAGGAAACGGAGUCCGGAGGGCACACGAGGUGCUCACGAGGUAGGGGGGCGCGCCUAGGGGGGCAGGGCGCGCCCUCCACCCUCGUGGAGGCCUUGUGUCCUCCCCGGACUGCUACUUAUUUUUCUAUUUUUCUAAAUAUUCCAAAACGGAGAAAUAUUGCCUUAAAAAUGUUUUGGAGUCAGUUUACUUACCGUACCACAUACCUAUUCCUUUUCGGAGUCUGGAACGUUCUGGAAAGUGUCCUUUAUGUACUCCUCCGGGGUUACGGUUUCAAUAAUAUCAGUUUCAACAUUUAUAGGAUUACGUGAGAUAUAGUGUUUGAUCCUUUGGCCGUUUACCACCUUCGGAUUUGUGCCUGCGAAGUUGUUGAUUUUUAUGGCACCAGAACGAUAGACCUCCUCGAUAACGUAAGGGCCUUCCCAUUUGGAGACAAGUUUUCCUGCAAAAAAAUCUUAAACGAGAGUUGUAUAGCAAUGCAUAAUCACCUACAUUAAACUCACGCUUUUGUAUCCUUUUGUCAUGCCACCUUUUAACUUUUUCCUUAAACAACUUGGCAUUUUCAUAAGCUUGGGUUCUCCAUUCAUCAAGUGAGCUAGUAUCAAAUAACCUCUUCUCACCGGCAAGUUUGAAAUCAUAGUUGAGAUCCUUAAUAGCCCAAUAUGCCUUAUGUUCUAGUUCGAGAAGUAAAUGACAUGCCUUUCCAUAAACCAUUUUAUACGGAGAUAUACCUGUCGGUGUCAAAACCGGCGGAUCUCGGGUAGGGGGUCCCGAACUGUGCGUCUAGGCGAAUGGUAACAGGAGACAAGGGACACGAUGUUUUACCCAGGUUCGGGCCCUCUUGAUGGAGGUAAAACCCUAUGUCCUGCUUGAUUGAUAUUGAUAUUGUAGAUGUUUACAAGAGUGGAUCUACCACGAGAUCAAGGAGGCUAAACCCUAGAAGCUAGCCUAUGGUAUGAUUGUAAUGGUUGUUGUUGUUCUACGGACUAGAGCCAUCCGGUUUAUAUAGACACCGGAGAGGGCUAGGGUUACAUAGAGUCGGUUACAAUGGUAGGAGAUCUACAUAUCCGUAUCGCCAAGCUUGCCUUCCACACCAAGGAAAGUCCCAUCCGGACACGGGACAAAGUCUUCAAUCUUGUAUAAUCAUAGUCUUGGAGUCCGGUCGAUGAUGAUAGUCCGGCCGAUGAUAGUUCGGCUGAUGAUGGUAGUCCGGCUAUUCGGACACCCCCUAAUCCAGGACUCCCUCAGUAGCCCCUGAACCAGGCUUCAAUGACGAUAAGUCCGGCGCGUAUAUUGCUUGGCAUUGCAAGGCGGGUUCCUCCUCCGAAUGAUAGAAGAUUGUGAACAACAGGAUAGUGUCCGGCUCUGCAAAAUAAAUUCCACAUUCCACCGUAGAGAGAAUAAUAUAUACACAAGUUCAAUCUGCUGACGUUUUUUGCGGCAUGAUGUCACGCCACUACCAAGCCAUUACUUGAAUCAUUUUUUACUCUACCACCUCAGCGCAUUUAGCGAAGCGGUUUCCUUGGCACGUCUUGUCAAAGCAGAGAUCGUGUUCCCCCUUAAUCCGGGAUUCUCAACAAUACGGACGUGGGUAACCCAACCGCGCCCGUCGCCACGCCCCCUCUAUCGAAGGCGAGUCCCAAACGGUCACGGAGACGGCUCUUGGUAUUCUCCCUCCUUAUAACGGGACCAAGGCUCGUUUCUUCUCUUCAAUCCUCCAUCGAAUCCUCUCCCUGCUCCAAGUUCCAGCAUCUAGAGCUCCAGAUUCGAGCGCUUCGGACCUUCAACGAUGUCCGGUUUCGACCUCCAGGGCCGGUGGCGGAGGAGGACGUGCUAAAGCUGCGGGAGGCCAAGUACCUGGCUUAUGAGAUUUCGCACAGGUUGCCUGCCAAAGGGCAGGCCAUCCCCACCCCCGAGCCCGGCAAGUAUGUCGUUUUUGUAUCCCACCUCCGUCGGGGUUUAGGCUUCCUGAUGGAUCCUUUUGUGAGAGGGCUCAUGUUUUACUAUGGGUUGGAAUUCCACGAUUUGGCUCUGGAGUCCAUCCUCCAUAUUUCCGCAUUUAUUGUUGUCUGCGAAGACUUCCUCCGCGUCACCCCUCACUUAGGCCUGUGGCUGAAGACCUUCAAUGUGGCGCCAAAGAUGAUCGGGGGGCGUCAAGCGGAGUGCGGCGGGGCGGCCAUAAGUAGGAGGGCCGAUGCCCCGUGGCCCGCUGGCUCCUUCCAAGAGGAGCUCGGCCCGUGGCAGCAAGAGUGGUUCUAUAUCACCAUUCCGAGGGGCCGCAGACAAAAGCCGCCGCCCUCAUUCCGCCCGGGACCUCCACGACGGUUGAUGUCGUGGGUCAACCAAGGGCUCAACUGGGGGCCGUCAAAGGACGUGCCCCUACUGUAGGGCCGGAUUCGAGAUCUCCAAACGAGGGAGGUCGAUAUGGUGGUGGUAAUGCAGGUUAUGCUGAUUAGGCGUCUCCCGCCCUGCAAACGCCGCCCUCUCCGGCUGUGGGAGUUCAAUCUGGAGGGCCCACGGAUUCUUCAACACUUCAUGGGUAUGACACCCCUGGAGAUGUACAAAUUAUUCUUCAGAUCACAAGAGGCGCGUCCGGAAUUGACCGAGGAUACUGGCCUAAGCUGCAAUCGCCCGGAUACUCAAGUAAGUAGUUCCAAGUCCGGACAUACCGUUUGUUUGCCUUUCGAUGAUUCGCCUUAUGACCAACUUCCUUCUAAACAGGAGUGGAUAGCGGAAGCAAAAUUGAUAUGGUGUCCGGCCCCCCUCCCCGAGACCGCGCAGGAUUCCGUGCUGGUCCGGAUGCUUGAGGUUGCGCCUCCAGAGGAAGGCGAAGGGGAAAACAGGAAAGCUACUGCCUCACCUAAGGAGGCUCUUGAAAGAGGGGGGAUCGAGAAUCCCUCCCUCCAAGGGGAGAAGAGGACUGCCUCCGAGGACCCGGGGGCAAAAGCCCCUAAACGGGGGAAGAAAUCUUCGCCAGAGGGCCCUGUGUCCGGGGAGGCCCCGGCCGCACAAUCUCCCUUUGAGAAUCAGCCCUCCAACGAGCCGUAAGUAUAAAGAAAGGAGUUUUAUAAUAAGGGACAUCCCUAUUUGUGCUUCUGAGGAUAACUAAAGUUUUUACCUUGUAGUUCGGAUCUCCAUCCUUCGCAAAUGAGCUCGUCUUCGGGGGACCUUCGUCCGGAGAUGAUGGAGAGCGAGACGCCUCCGUCCGGGGCGCCGUCAGAUAGGGCGGACGAGCCUGAAGUGUCAUCACGGAGGGAGCCCCCUGGUUUGGCAAAGCCGGAUAGUUCGGCGCCAACUGGUGUAUGGCUGAAGGAUCUGCUUGAGAAGGCGUCGAUCUCAGAAGAUCACCACGCAUUGAUGAGCAUGGUGAUUCAAAGGAUUUCGUCCGCCGAAGGCGGGUUGCAUAAUGCCAUCAGGAGUUUGCUGGCGGGGUUUGAGGUACGUAAAAAUGACACACCUUUUAACAGUUUUGCAUAUAGAAUGCGCCCUGUAUAGAUAGUAGCCCCUGAGACUCGGUAGGUUGUCGAAAUCGACAGCGUUCCGAGGAUCAAAAUCGCAGUGAUGCUUGGACAAAGAUGGAUGCCACCGCUGUUGCGACCCCGGGUUCGGACGAUAACCGGUUACCCGCCGAGCACUAUUUUGGCAAAGUGCUGCGUGGUGCUCAUGUAAUAGAGUCGCAGUGCUCAAAAAAUGUUAUGUUCGAGUGAACGUUUUUAUGAUGUAAGCGCCGUUUAUACUUGUGCGUUCAAGUAAUAGAAUAUCUCCUAUGCGGCCGUUCAUGUAUACGUGUGUAUAACCUGAAAGAUGGCAGUCGUCGGCUUCAGCCCCCACGCACAAGGUGCGGGGGUGUUCGCAAAAAAUAGCGCGUUUUCACACUUAAUCCGACGUCUCGGUCCUGUAAAGGAGGUGGUAGCGUAGCAAACGAGGCAACCGGACUAUAAUGCUUUAUCACUUUCACUUAGCCAUCGAGUUCGAGGGUGGGGCUACGACAUAGCCCCUGGGGGCACCGCGCUCUCCGAAUUUGGGGCGCGUGUGUGCCUGACCGGGAAACGGCCCUUCAUCAAAGCGGAGGAAUUCUAAACAUUCCCAUGGUCGAUCGAGUGGUUGACCAGUCUCUCGCUGUAUCAUGACAGUCAGUUUUCCGCUUUCUCUACUGAGGUGCUCGCCCAGCCGAACUGGGGCACAAUCGCAGUAGUUCUCCUGGUGCCGCGUUAGCCGAUGAUACGGAACGUAAGGCAGCAAAACACAGGAGCCGGGCAAACCCAACAUUUGACCAAAGACAUGAUUCGGAGCUGAUGCAUAUAAGGCCUAACUCGAGACGCCGAACACCCCCGAAGGUGUUCGGUCUUUACAAUAGCGGGCAAAACAAUGCCCUAAGCCCCUUGUGUCCAGGUACGGGCAAGUUCUUCUGGCGCGGCCGAUGCCAAAACGCCAGUCUCCACUCUGGUUAUAAUGAGAAGCCAGGGGAUUAUAGCAACAAAAGACAGUAAGAAAGGGUUACGUAGGGUCUUAGUCUGAAAAGAGUCCUUGCAACGGGUCCCUACUGCACGUCUGCGCCUGUGUCUCCGUUGUGCCGUAUCCUGGACGGGUGUGCACGCUGUUCAUCUGUAAAAAGAGAGGAACUUAGUUUGAAAAGAAAUCGUGCGAGAAAGUGCAUAAAAAAUUGAAAUAUAGAUUAAUAAAGCUGAGCCUAUGCUAGCUCAUCAUGGCUUAUAUGUACAAACCCUUGUGAAGGGGUGUGUGGCUAGGUAGCCCCUAGCUUAUUUAUUCCGGACUCGUCCAGCCGUGUCCGGGGUCUCAGGCGACCUUUUAAUGAAAUGAUGCCACGUGGACCGGGCAUUUUAAGCGUAAGAGACGCGUAAUGUGGUAUUGCAUUGAAGCGGACGAAAGCUUCCCGUCCCAGUGAUGCUUGAUAGCUACUUUUAAAUGGGGCGACAUGAAAGGUUAGCUUUUCUCGUCGGAAGUUGUCAGGUGACCCGAACACAACUUCUAGUAAUAAUGAAACUGUGCACCUGGCGUAAGGGCCUGGCGCCACUCCUUUGAAGGAAGUGCGGCUAUGCCGAAUUGUAGUAGGGUCUAUCCCAACUUGCGGAUUGUGUCCGGAUAUAGCAGGUUUAAGUCACUGCCGCCAUCCAUCAAAACCUGCGUGAAUUGCAGUCCGUCUAUUAUGGGAUCCAAUAUCAAGGCAGUCUAUCCUGCGUUCCGGAUACUUCUGGACUAAUCCAGAUGGUCGAAAGUGAUUGGUUUUGACAUCCAAUCUCGGUGUUCCGCUGGGGUGGACCGUGCGACACUUGUCUUAGCGAGUGCGGUGGUGGUUUUCCGUACUAUCACAUGGAGUGAGUUUACCGUUUUGACUUCUUGUGGGAAAGUAUUUUGACUUCCGGUGCUCUGCUGGUGGGGUUCGUCAUCGUCCUCGCUUGGCGCAUCGAGCCCCUUGUGUCCGGUGUUGAGUCUGCCGGAAUGUUUAAAAACCCAACAAUUUCGGUUGGUAUGGUUUGCAGGCCUUCUGGAGGUACUGUGGAUUUGACAUAUUCGAUCUAAAAUUUUGUUUAAAUUUGAUAGCUCGUCGCUGUUGUCCUUAAGAGGCAGGUUUUAUUGUUUGGCCGCGAGCUUUUGAAUCCGGUGUUGACCGCCGUGCCCUUUGGGCUUUUUCUUUAUUCCGGCGCUGAUCUUUCCUGCGCCGUGAUUUUCCGUUUCCAUCUCUGGUCUCGGAUGUACUCGGGUCGCUGGUGCUGCAUCUUGCUAGCCGGCUGUCUUCUCCUGCGCAAAAGCACGUCAUGAGGCUUGUUAGCGCGGCCAUUGUUCUUGGCUUCUCUUGGCCGAGGUGUCUGGCGAGCCAUUCGUCUCGGACGUUGUGUUUAAAAGCUGCUAAGGCUUCCGCGUCCGGACAGUCGACUAUUUGGUUCUUUUUGGUAAGGAACUUGUUCCAGAAUUUGCGCGCUGACUCUCCGGGCUGUUGGGUUAUAUGACUCAGAUCGUCUGCAUCCGGAGGGCGGACAUAAGUCCCUUGAAAAUUUGCUCUAAACACGUCCUCAAGCUCUUCCCAACUUCCAACAGUAUUUUCUGGGAGGCUUUUGAGCCAAUGCUGAGCUGGCCCUUUGAGCUUGAGGGGUAGGUAUUUUAUGGCGUGGAGAUCAUCUCCUCUAGCCAUGUGUAUGUGUAGUAUGUAAUCUUCUAUCCAUACUCCUGGGUCUGUUGUGCCGUCGUAUGCCUCUAUGUUUAUGGGUUUGAACCCUGCUGGAAAUUCAUGAUCCAGCACCUCAUCGGUAAAACAUAGCGGGUGUGCGGCGCCCCUGUAUUUGGGUGUGCCGCUGUCUUUGAACACUUGUCGUGUUGUGUUGCUUCCUGGGGCCCUCCUUUUUGGCCCAUAGAUGGACCUAGUUGGGCCGUCCGUUUUCCCAAGAUCAUAAGUCGGCUUGUGUGCGGCGCCGCUUGUCGCUUUUGGCCUGUCAUCUGGCCGUCUAUCCGGCCAGGCGGCCUCUUUAUUUUUUGACUGUGAGGGCUCUAUGGCUUCCUCGUCAAAUUCUGGCAGCAGCUUGCGCUUCGGGUAGCUCUUUGUUUGAUGGCCAUUGCCAUAUUUGUCUGCGGUCUUGAGUAUUUUGCUCCACUUCAUUCUGAGUAUGUCUUCCGCUGUUUUGAGCUUCCGUUUUUCCUUCUUCAAACUUCUUGCAGUGGCGACGAGUCUUUUGUGAAGGUUCUUAUGCUCCGGUGGUGUGUCCGGACUGUUGAUUGCUCCGUGAAGGGGUUGAUUAUCCGGUUCGUCCUGUUCGGAUGGUUGCUUGGUUGUAUGUUCGUCGUCCGCUGGUUUGCCCUGCUCUAUCGCUGGGUCGUUAGGAAUGCUGCUUUGAUCGAGGCGGGACUUAGGGCGGCGUCUACGUCGCCGUUUUGGUUGUUUAUCGGCGGUAUUAUCCUCUGCCGCGUCCCGUUGUUCCUCGGUAUCGCUUCCCUUUGGGGUGUCCACCAUAUGUAUGUCAUGUGACGAGGUGGCCUUCCAGUGCCCUGUAGGCGCUUGUUCUUGAUCGUCUCCGGCAUCGUCGUCCAUACCAUGGAUGUCUUCGGAGUCGUAGUUUAGCACGUCGGUUAGAUCGUCGACGGUGGCUACCAAGUGGGUGGUGGGUGGGCUCUGAAUUUCUUCAUUGUCCGCGUCCCGACCAUCCUGGCCGUAGUUCGGCCAGGGCUCUCCGGAUAGUGAGAGAUGCUUCAGCGAAUUUAAGAUAUCCCCGAAGGGUGAGUGCUGAAAGGUGUCCGCAGCGGUGAAUUCCAUGAUGGGCGCCCAAUCGGAUUUGACUGGCAGGGGCGCUGGAGGUUCGGAGUCCGGCAAAGAGUCCGGCACCUCGGAGUCAUGAGCUUUAUGCGGGGCAAGGUAAGUGUUCGGCUCCAUCACCGUAGAAGUUGCAGCUCCCGAGGCGGUGUCCAGCCAUCCGUUCUCGAUCUGAGCGAUCGGCUCCGGACUAUGGGUCGGAGCGGAUUCAUGUGCGGCCUCCAAGGUGCUGUCCGGCGGCAGAGUUAGGUCGUACCCAUCGUGACAGCGCGGCACGCUCGGCUGUGGCUCAGAUCCAUCGAAGAUCAAGUCCCCGCGGAUAUCGGCCGUGAAGUUUAGGCUUCCAAACCUGACCUGACGGCCAGGGGCAUAGCUUUCGAUCUGCUCCAGAUGGCCAAGUGAGUUGGCCCGCAGUGCGAAGCUGCCGAAUAUGAAGAUCUGUCCGGGGAGAAAAGUCUCACCCAGGACUACGUCGUUGUCGAUUGAAGAGGCCAUCAAGCCUAUCGGUGACGACACAGAGGAACUCUCAAUGAAAGCACCAAUGUCGGUGUCAAAACCGGCGGAUCUCGGGUAGGGGAUCCCGAACUGUGCGUCUAGGCGGAUGGUAACAGGAGACAAGGGACACGAUGUUUUACCCAGGUUCGGGCCCUCUUGAUGGAGGUAAAACCCUAUGUCCUGCUUGAUUGAUAUUGAUAUUGUAGAUGUUUACAAGAGUGGAUCUACCAUGAGAUCAAGGAGGCUAAACCCUAGAAGCUAGCCUAUGGUAUGAUUGUAAUGGUUGUUGUUGUCCUACGGACUAGAGCCAUCCAGUUUAUAUAGACACCGGAGAGGGCUAGGGUUACAUAGAGUCGGUUACAAUGGUAGGAGAUCUACAUAUCCGUAUCGCCAAGCUUGCCUUCCACGCCAAGGAAAGUCCCAUCCGGACACGAGACGAAGUCUUCAAUCUUGUAUCUUCAUAGUCUUGGAGUCCGGUCGAUGAUGAUAGUCCGGCCGAUGAUAGUUCGGCUGAUGAUGGUAGUCCGGCUAUCCGGACACCCCCUAAUCCAGGACUCCCUCAGUAGCCCCUGAACCAGGCUUCAAUGAAGAUAAGUCCGACGCGUAUAUUGCUUGGCAUUGCAAGGCGGGUUCCUCCUCCGAAUGAUAGAAGAUUGUGAACACCAGGAUAGUGUCCGGCUCUGCAAAAUAAAUUCCACAUUCCACCGUAGAGAGAAUAAUAUAUACACAAGUUCAAUCUGCUGACGUUUUUUGCGGCAUGACGUCACGCCACUACCAAGCCAUUACUUGAAUCGUUUUUUACUCUACCACCUCAGCGCAUUUAGCGAAGCGGUUUCCUUGGCACGUCUUGUCGAAGCAGAGAUCAUGUUCCCCCUUAGUCCGGGAUUCUCAUCAAUACGGACGUGGGUAACCCAACCGCGCCCGUCGCCACGCCCCCUCUAUCGAAGGCGAGUCCCAAACGGUCAUGGAGACGGCUCUUGGUAUUCUUCCUCCUUAUAACGGGACCAAGGCUCGUUUCUUCUCUUCAAUCCUCCAUCGAAUCCUCUCCCUGCUCCAAGUUCCAGCACCUAGAGCUCCAGAUUCAAGCGCUUCGGACCUUCAAUGAUGUCCGGUUCCGACCUCCAGGGCCGGUGGAUGCCCUCCUCCGUCACGGAGGAGUACGUGCUAAAGCUGCGGGAGGCCAAGUACCUGGCUCAUGAGAUUUCGCACAGGUUGCCUGCCGAAGGGUAGGCCAUCCCCACCCCCGAGCCCGGCGAGUAUGUCGUUUUUGUAUCCCACCUCCGUCGGGGUUUAGGCUUCCCGAUGGAUCCUUUUGUGAGAGGGCUCAUGUUUUACUAUGGGUUGGAAUUCCACGAUUUGGCUCCGGGGUCCAUCCUCCAUAUUUCCGCAUUUAUUGUUGUCUGCGAAGCCUUCCUCCGCGUCACCCCUCACUUCGGCCUGUGGCUGAAGACCUUCAAUGUGGCGCCGAAGAUGAUCGGGGGGCGUCAAGCGGAGUGCGGCGGGGCGGCCAUAAGUAGGAGGGCCGAUGCCCCGUGGCCCGCUGGCUCCUUCCAAGAGGAGCUCGGCCCGUGGCAGCAAGAGUGGUUCUAUAUCACCGUUCCGAGGGGCCGCAGACAAAAGCCGCCGCCCUUAUUCCGCCCGGGACCUUCACGACGGUUGAUGUCGUGGGUCAACCAAGGGCUCAACUGGGGGCCGUCAAAGGACGUGCCCCUACUGCAGGGCCGGAUUCGAGAUCUCCAAACGAGGGAGGUUGAUAUGGUGGUGGUAAUGCAGGUUAUGCUGAUUAGGCGUCUCCCGCCCUGCGAACGCCGCCCUCUCCGGCUGUGGGAGUUCAAUCCGGAGGGCCCACGGAUUCUUCAACACUUCAUGGGUAUGACACCCCUGGAGAUGUACAAAUUAUUCUUCGGAUCGCAAGAGGCGCGUCCGGAAUUGACCGAGGAUGCUGGCCUAAGCUGCAAUCGCCCGGGUACUCAAGUAAGUAGUUCCAAGUCCGUACAUACCGUUUGUUUGCCUUCCAAUGAUUCGACUUAUGACCAACUUCCUUCUAAACAGGAGUGGAUAGCGGAAGCAAAAUUUAUAUGGUGUCCGGCCCCCCUCCCCGAGACCGCGCCGGAUUUCGUGCUGGUCCGGAUGCUUGAGGUUGCGCCUCCAGAGGAAGGCGAAGGGGAAAGCAGGAAAGCUACUGCCUCGCCUAAGGAGGCUCUUGAAAGAGGGGGGAUCGAGAAUCCCUCCCUCCAAGGGGAGAAGAGGACUCCCUCCGAGGACCCGGGGGCAAAAGCCCCUAAAUGGGGGAAGAAAUCUUCUCCAGAGGGGCCUGCGUCCGAGGAGGCCCCGGCCGCACAAUCUCCCUUUGAGAAUCAGCCCUCCAACGAGCCGUAAGUAGAAAGAAAGGAGUUUUAUAAUAAGGGACAUCCCUAUUUGUGCUUCUGAGGAUAACUAAAGUUUUUACCUUGUAGUUCGGAUCUCCGUCCUUCGCAAAUGAGCUCGUCUUCGGGGGACCUUCGUCCGGAGAUGAUGGAGAGCGAGAUGCCUCCGUCCGGGGUGCCGUCAGAUAGGGCGGACGAGCCUAAAGUGUCGUCACGGAGAGAGCCCCCUGGUUUGGCAAAGCCGGAUAGUUCGGCGCCAACUGGUGUACGGCUGAAGGAUCUGCUUGAGAAGGCGUCUAUCUCAGAAGAUCACCACGCAUUUAUGAGCAUGGUGAUUGAAAGGAUUUCGUCCGCCGAAGGCGGGUUGCAUAAUGCCGUCAGGAGUUUGCUGGCGGGGUUUGAGGUACGUAAAAAUGACACACCUUUUAACAGUUUUGCAUAUAGAAUGCGCCCUGUAUAGAUAGUAGCCCCUGAGACUCGGUAGGUUGUCGAAAUUGACAGCGUGCCGAGGAUCAAAAUCGCAGGUUUAAAUUUCCGCCGUGCCGAUGCAGGUGGCGGGUCGUCCGGGGGCCAGCCGGACUGAUGGAGUUGCUGAACUAAAGCGGCAACUCGCUGUUGCGGAUGCGGACAUCACGCUGGUCAACAGGCGACUUGAUGAGUCGCAAGGUAAGUGUUUCUGUGUGGUCACUUGGUAAGGGGGCCGUAGCCAGCUCCUUACAACAUGUGCGUGAAAUGCAGAUAGUGCCGCUGCUGUGGAGAGCCUUCGGGCCGAACUUGCUCAAGCCAAGGAGCAGGCCAGAAGGAGUAAUGCGGCAGCCUCGAGGGCGGCCGAGGAGUUAGCGGCCGAAAGGGCCGCACACUGCCGGAGUAGGGAAGAGAUGGCCGAAAUGGCCGUGAAGUUAAAAGAUGCUACCGACCGCAAUGAGGCUCUUGGGAAGGAGCGCCUAGCAGGGCAAGAAGACCUGGAGAAGGCCACCGCCGAAGCCAAGGAUGCCCGCUCUGCAAUGCGGGCUAUAAAGGAAGAGCUGCGCCAGGCCGGAGAUAUUGUAGCUGGCAAGCCUUUUCUGCUGCGCCGAAGGUUUACGGAUCCAAAGUAUGCUCAGCUGGGCCAACUGUGUGGUCCAGAGGACCCUUAUAUGGACUUAGCAGCGAGUGCGGCGGAUGCCGUUGUGCAUUUUCAAAGCCAGAAGGAUCACAAGACGGAAGAGCUGUUUUGGUCUCAAUUCCAUAGUCCGGAGCGUUCACUUCCGUUGACCGACCAUUUGGCCGAGUGGGCUGAGCUAAAUAGGUUGUCCGGGCUUGCUAUGACGGAUAUAGUGACCCAUGUCUGGCCGGAUAGGCCCGAGCCGAAGAGUUACUUUGGCUUAUUGCAACAAUUUCUUGGGGCGGUGCCGCAUAUGAAGGCAAUGAAGCGGUCGGCCUGCAUAGAGGGUGCGCGGAUGGCACUCGCCCGUGUGAAGACACAUUGGACAGAGAUGGAUGUCACCGCUGUUGCGACCCUGGGUUCGGACGAUAACCGGUUACCCGCCGAGCACUAUUUUGGCGAAGUGCUGCGUGGUGCUCGUGUAAUAGAGUCGCAGUGCUCAAAAAAUGUGACGUUCGAGUGAACGUUUUUAUGAUGUAAAACAAUAUUUAUGAUGUAAGUGCCUUUUAUACUUGUGCGUUCAAGUAAUAGAAUAUCUCUUAUGCGGCCGUUCAUGUAUACGUGUGUAUAACCUGAAAGAUGGCAGUCGUCGGCUUCAGCCCCCACGCACAAGGUGCGGGCGUGUUCGCAAAAAAUAGCGCGUUUUCACACAUAAUCCAAUGUCUCGGUCCUGUAAAGGAGGUGGUAGCGUAGCAAAUGAGGCAACCGGACUAUAAUGCUUUAUCACUUUCACUUAGCCAUGGAGUUCGAGGGUGGGACUACGACAUAGCCCCUGGGGGCACCGCGCUCUCCGAAUUUGGGGCGCGUAUGUGCCUGACCGAGAAACGGCCCUUUGUCAAAGCGGAGGAAUUCUAAACAUUCCCAUGGUCGAUUGAGUGGUUGACCAGUCUCUCGCUGUAUCAUGACAGUCAGUUUUCGGCUUUCUCUACUGAGGUGCUCGCCCAGCCGAACUGGGGCACAAUCGCAGUAGUUCUCCUGGUGCCGCGUUAGCCGAUGAUACAGAACGUAAGGAAGCAAAACACAGGAGCCGGGCAAACCCAACAUUUGACCAAAGACAUGAUUCGGAGCUGAUGCGUAUAAGGCCUAACUCGAGACGCCAAACACUCCCGAAGGUGUUCGGUCUUUACAAUAGCGGGCAAAACAAUGCCCUAAGCCCCUUGUGUCCAGGUACGGGCAAGUUCUUCUGGCGCGGCCGAUGCCAAAACGCCAGUCUCCACUCUGGUUAUAAUGAGAAACCAGGGGAUUAUAACAACAAGAGACAGUAAGAAAGGUUUACGUAGGGUCUUAGUCUGAAAAGAGUCCUUGCAACGGGUCCCUACUACACGUCUGCGCCUGUGUCUCCGUUGUGCCGUAUCCUGGACGGGUGUGCACGCUGUUCAUCUGUAAAAAGAGAGGAACUUAGUUUGAAAAGAAAUCGUGCGAGAAAGUGCAUAAAAAAUUGAAAUAUAGAUUAAUAAAGCUGAGCCUAUGCUAGCUCAUCAUGGCUUAUAUGUACAAACCCUUGUGAAGGGGUGUGUGGCUAGGUAGCCCCUAGCUUAUUUAUUCCGGAUGCGUCCAGCCGUGUCCGGGGUCUCAGGCGACCUUUUAAUGAAAUGAUGCCACAUGGACCGGGCAUUUUAAGCGUAAGAGAUGCGUAAUGUGGUAUUGCAUUGAAGCGGACAAAAGCUUCCCGUCCCAGUGAUGCUUGAUAGCUACUUUUAAAUGGGGCGACAUGAAAGGUUAGCUUUUCUCGUCGGAAGUUGUCAGGUGACCCGAACACAACUUCUAGUAAUAAUGAAACUGUGCACCUGGCGUAAGGGCCUGGCGCCACUCCUUUGAAGGAAGUGCGGCUAUGCCGAAUUGUAGUAGGGUCUAUCCCAACUUGCGGAUUGUGUCCGGAUAUAGAAGGUUUAAGUCACUGCCACCAUCCAUCAAAACCUGCGUGAAUUGCAGUCCGUCUAUUAUGGGAUCCAAUAUCAGGGCAGUCUAUCCUGCAUUCCGGAUACUUCUGGACUAAUCCAGAUGGUCCAAAGUGAUUGGUUUUGACAUCCAAUCUCGGUGUUCCGCUGGGGUGGACCGUGCGACACUUGUCUUAGCGAGUGCCGUGUUGGUUUUCCGUACUAUCACAUGAAGUGAGUUUACUGUUUUGACUUCUUGUGGGAAAGUCUUUUGACUUCCGGUGCUCUGCUGGUGGGGUUCGUCAUCGUCCUCACUUGGCGCAUCGAGCCCCUUGUGUCCGGCGUUGAGUCUGCCGGACUGUUUAAAAACCCAACAAUUUCGGUUGGUAUGGUUUGCAGGCCUUCCAGAGGUACUAUGGAUUUGACAUAUCCGAUCUAAAAUUUUGUUUAAAUUUGAUAGCUCGUCGCUGUUGUCCUUAAGAGGCAGUGUUUUAUUGUUUGGCCGCGAGCUUUUGAAUCCGGCAUUGACCGCCGUGCCCUUUGGGCUUUUUUCUUUAUUCCGGCGCUGAUCUUUCCUGCGCCGUGAUUUUCCGUUUCCAUCUCUGAUCUCGGAUGUACUCGGGUCGCUGGUGCUGCAUCUUGCUAGCCAGCUGUCUUCUCCUGCGCAAAAGCGCAUCAUGAGGCUUGUUAGCGCGGCCAUUGUUCUUGGCUUCUCUUGGCCGAGGUGUCUGGCGAGCCAUUCGUCUCGGACGUUGUGUUUAAAAGCUGCUAAGGCUUCCGCGUCCGGACAAUCGACUAUUUGGUUCUUUUUGGUAAGGAACCUGUUCCAGAAUUUGCGCGCUGACUCUCCGGGCUGUUGGGUUAUAUGACUCAGAUCGUCUGCAUCCGGAGGGCGGACAUAAGUCCCUUGAAAAUUUGCUCUAAACACGUCCUCAAGCUCUUCCCAACUUCCAACAGUAUUUUCUGGGAGGCUUUUGAGCCAAUGCCGAGCUGGCCCUUUGAGCUUGAGGGGUAGGUAUUUUAUGGCGUGGAGAUCAUCUCCUCUAGCCAUGUGUAUGUGUAGUAUGUAAUCUUCUAUCCAGACUCCUGGGUCUGUGGUGCCGUCGUAUGCCUCUAUGUUUAUGGGUUUGAACCCUGCUGGAAAUUCAUGAUCCAACACCUCAUCGGUAAAAGAUAGCGGGUGUGCGGCGCCCCUGUAUUGUGAAUGGGAGUGGUUUUACAUCACCGAACCCCGUGGUAAAAAGCGGGUAGCCACACCGGCGUUUUGGCCCAGCCCUCCACCACAGCUCACAUCGUGGAUUAACAAGGGGCCAGGCUGGGGAUCUACUGAUGAAGUGCGGAUGCUGCAAAGCCGCAUUCAGAGCCUUAUUAAGAAGGACACCAGUCUCAUUGAUGUAAUCCAAGUAAUGUUGGUCCGCCGGAUCCUACCUUGCCAGCGACGCCCUCUCCGCAUGUGGGAGUUUAAUCUGGAAGGUCCACAGACCCUUCAGCACCUUUCUGGCACGAUGCUCAGAGAGAUGUGGAAAUUGUUCUUCGGCGCACGAAAACAUUGCCGGAUACUACAAAAUACAUCGGCCUUGACUGCAACCAUCUGGAUACUCCGGUAAGUACUCGACCCCCAAACAUGAUUUAGUAAAAUUAUCCAUGACAAUGUGCUGAUAAAACUCUAUCCGGCCAGGGCUGGCUAAAGAAGGCGGAGAGAAUCAGGUGUUCGACUCCACUUCCUGAAGAUACUGCAGAUCCGUUAUUAACAACGAUGCUGGCUCCGGCACCAUAUCAAGUGCCGGCGGGGGAAGAUAAAGAGGAGGACAAAGAGGCCCAAGGUAGCUUCCACUCUGGGGGCUCACCAGGCAAUUUGUCCUGGGAGAUUAGAACUCCCGCUUCCAAAGGUGGAAGGGAAGGGUGAAUUGACAUCCCUUCUCCCCAUGGGAAGAAAAGGGCCGCCUCCGAAGACUCGGAAAGAGAAGCUUCUAAGCGGGGGAAGGUAUCCCAGUCAGGGGAUGAUGUUGACACGCAAUCACCCCGUAAAGAUAGGCCCUCAGCCGCAUCGUAAGUGAUUCCGGGUGUUUUAAACAUGUCCCGUUCUUUCCUGGCUAUAAGGGUAAUAUUUUAAACUCAUGUUUGCAGUCCGGCACACAACCCUCCUCAACAGUCCUCCUCUUCAGGGGAUCUACUUCCGGAGAUGAUGGAGAGCGAGAUGCCUCCACAGAUCUCCCUGCCUGAUAAGGCAGAUGACGCCAAGGUGUCGUCUCGGAGGAUCCUUCCUGAUCUGCGAGUGGCGCAAGGGACAGUGAGGACUGGGGCCAAAGGUAAUACUUCAGCCACCUAGGGUCCAGGGUGUGCGGCCCAUACAGGGAACAACAAAAGUCCCGGACUAUCGAAUGUCCAAGGGACGCCGGAUACAUUGAUGGACAUUUUGCAACAUGCCUCUGUCUCAGAGGAACAUCAUACCUUGAUGGGUACGGUGUUGGAAAGAGUUUGGUCCGCGAGAAGCGGAUUGAAUGAAGAUCUUUUCUAGCCUACUAAGAGGCUUUGAGGUACGUAGUGUAAUUUCAAUUAUGUUGUAAGUACAAAUUGCACCUGUGUAUAGAUAGUAGCCCCUGGUACGUCUCCAACAUAUCUAUAAUUUUUUAUUGUUCCAUGCUAUUAUAUUACCCAUUUUGGAUGUUUAUGGGCUUUACUUUACACUUCUAUAUCAUUUUUGGGACUAACCUACUAACCGGAGGCCCAACCCGAAUUGCUGUUUUUUUGCCUAUUUCAGUGUUUCAAAGAAAAGGAAUAUCAAACAGAGUCCAAACGGGAUGAAACCUUUGGGAGCGAUCUUUUUGGAACAAAUGCAAUCCACGAGACUUGGAGUGGACGUCAAGCAACAGAGGAGGCGGCCACGAGGGUGCCCGGAGCGCCCUGAUGACCCACAAGUAUAGGGGAUCUAGCGUAGUCUUUUCGAUAAGUAAGAGUGUCGAACCCAACGAGGAGCAGAAGGAAAUGAUAAGCGGUUUUCAGCAAGGUAUUCUCUGCAAGUAGUGAAAUAAGUGGUAACAGAUAGUUUUGUGAUAGGAUAAAUUGCAACGAGAAACAAGUAACAAAAGUAAAUAAAGUGCAGCAAGGUGGCCCAAUCCUUUUUGUAGCAAAGGACAAGCCUAGACAAACUCUUAUAAUAGGAAAAGCGCUCCUGAGGACACAUGGGAAUAUCGUCAAGCUAGUUUUCAUCACGCUCAUACGAUUCGCGUUCGGUACUUUGAUAAUUUGAUAUGUGGGUGGACCGGUGCUUGGGUACUACCCUUACUUGGACAAGCAUCCCACUUAUGAUUAACCUCUAUUGCAAGCAUCCGCAACUACAAAAAAAGUAUUAAGGUAAACCUAACCAUAGCAUGAAACAUAUGGAUCCAAAUCAGCCCCUUACGAAGCAACACAUAAACUAGGGUUUAAGCUUCUGUCACUCUAGCAACCCAUCAUCUACUUAUUACUUCCCAAUGCCUUCCUCUAGGCCCAAAUAAUGGUGAAGUGUUAUGUAGUCGAUGUUCACAUAACACCACUAGAGGUUAGACAACAUACAUCUUAUCAAAAUAUCGAACGAAUACCAAAUUCACAUGACUACCAAUAGCAAGACUUCUCCCUUGUCCUCAGGAACAAACAUAACUACUCACAAAGCAUAUUCAUGUUCAUAAUCAGAGGGGUAAUAUUGUGCAUAAAGGACCUGAACAUAUGAUCUUCCACCAAAUAAACCAACUAGGAUCAACUACAAGGAGUAAUCAACACUACUAGCAACCUACUAGCACCAAUCCUGGACUUGGAGACAAGAAUUGGAUACAAGAGAUGAACUAGGGUUUGGAGAUGAGAUGGUGCAGGUGAAGAUGUUGAUGGAGAUUGCCCUCUCCCGAUGAGAGGAGCGUUGGUGAUGACGAUGGUGAUGAUUUCCCCCUCCCGGAGGGAAGUGUCCCCGGCAGAACAGCUCUGCCGGAGCCCUAGAUUGGUUCCGCCAAGGUUCCGCCUCGUGGCGGCGGAGUCUCGUCCCGAAAGGUUGUUUGUUAUUUUUUUCACAUCAAAAGACUUCAUAUGGGAGAAGAUGGGCGUCGGAGAGCCACCAGGGGGCCCACGAGGUAGGGGGCGCGCCUAGGGGGGGGCACACCCUCGUGAGCAGGGUGUGGGCCCCCUGGCCUUCAUCUUUGGCGACAAUUUUUCUUUAUUUAUUCUAAGAUAUUCCGUAGAGUUUCAGGACUUUUUGAGUUGCGCAGAAUAGUCCUUCAAUAUUUGCUCCUUUUCCAGCCCAGAAUUCCAGCUGCCGGCAUUCUCCCUCUUCAUGUAAACCUUGUAAAAUAAGAAAGAAUAGCCAUAAGUAUUGUUACAUAACGUGAAAUAAUAGCCCAUAAUGCAAUAAAUAUUGACAUAAAAGCAUGAUGCAAAAUGGACGUAUCAACUCCCCCAAGCUUAGACCUCGCUUGUCCUGAAGCGAAAAGCCGAUAACAAUAAAUAUGUCCUCAUGUUUAGAGGUAGAGGCGUCGAUAAAAAUAAAAUACGGACAUGAAGGCAUCAUGAUUGCUUCAUAACAGCAACAUAUAUAAAAUUUUGUCAUAUGAUUACUUAUGUUCUAGUGAUGAUCUUUUCACAAGCCAAAAUAUGAAUCAGAAACUUUAUUGGGCACCAACAAUUAUAAUCUCAGUCAUUGAAGCAAUUGCAAUUUAUCAUAACAUCGGAAAGAGUCUAUGUCAGAGCUCAAAAGCAAGUCCACAUACUGAACUAUCACUUAGUCCUUCAUAAUUGCUAGCACUCACGCGAUACUUUGUGGUUACGGAGUUUUAAUCGGACACAGAGAAAGAUAGGGGCUUGCACACAACCUUUUACCUCAAGGGUAAUGUCAACAAUAAUAAUUCACGCUCCCCCACAUCCAAUUAUAUAUAUAUAUAUAUAUAUCAUGUUCUUUCCAACAUGCUAAGCUUGCCAAAGGAUAAAAUGAAAAAGGAAGGUGAAGAUCACCGUGACUCUUGCAUAAAGUAGAGGAUAAUAAUAAAAAAUAUGCCCUUCGCAGAGGGAAGCAGAGGUUGUCAUGCGCGUUUGGGGUUGAUGCACAAAAUCUUAAUGCAAAAGAAUGUCACUUUAUAUUGCCCCUUGCAUGUGAACCUUUAUUAUGCAGUCCGUCACUUUUAUUGCGUCCACAACAAGUUCGUACAAAGCUUAUUUCUCUGCACUAAUAAGCCAUGCAUAUUGAGAGAACAAUUUUUUAUUGCUUGCACCGAUGACAACUUACUUGAAGGAUCUUAAUCAAUCCAUAGGUAGAUAUGGUGGACUCUCAUGGCAAAACUGGUUUAAGGGUAUUUGGAAGCACAAGUAGUAUUUCUACUUAGUGCUGAGAAUUGGCUAGCAUGAGGGGGAAAGGAAAGCUCAACAUGGUAGAGGAACCAUGACAACAUACUUUAUCUCAGAUGUAAGAAAACAUAACUCAUUAUGUUGUCUUCCUUGUCCAACAUCAACUCUUUAGCAUGUCAUAUUUUAAUGAGUGCUCCCAAUCAUAAAAGAUGUCAAUGAUAAUAUAUCUAUAUGUGAUACCUCUCUUUCCUUAUUACUUCCUAUCAAUUGCAACGAUGGCCAAAGCUAUAUUUUCCAACUCCCAACAACUUUAAAUCAUCAUACUCUUUCUAUGUGAAGUCAUUACUUUCAAUAAGAUCAAUAUGAACUCUUGACUCUUUUUAUUCCUUUUCUUCUAAUCACCCAAGAUCAUGGCAAAAUACUCAAGCCCUUUACUCAACACUAAUUUUUAUUAUAUAGCUCACGGACUCGAUUACAAAGAAGGAUCAUAAAGCAAAAUUCGAAACUAGAUCAUGCCAUGACUUUAUUCUACUAAAGCAAGAUACUACUAAUAAGAUCGAACUAAGAAAAACGAUAAAGAUAGGAGUUGUGAUGGUGAUACGAUACCAGGGCACCUCCCCCAAGCUUGGCAGUUGCCAAGGGGAGUGCCCAUACCCAUGUGAUUAUGUUCCUUCUUUAUUGUUGGUGGUGGAGGUGUUGUUGAUGAUGCAAGCUUGUCGUCCAUCUUCCAAGGCAUAGGCUCACCAUCAUAGAAGGAUGAUUGAGUCUCCAGAAUCCUCAAAUCUGCAGCCAAACUCAUCCUUUUGAAUCUAUAUUCAUACUCACAGUUUUGGUUUUGCAGAUCAUAGAUUUGGGCUUGGAGGUGCUAGAUCUUCUCAUGUAGCUUAUAUAUGGCUUCCUCGGUCUUCUUGGCAUCCGGCUCAUAGUUGUUAGCGAACUCCGCAAGCAUCUUGUGGGUAGCGUUGAUUCCAUGUUCCACCAUCCCCUGGCACUUGAAAACUUGUUGAUCCAUUGCUUCGAGCCUCAACUCCACGCUUUCGGUUCCCUUUGGUCCCUCAACAUCGCGGAUGUGCAGCAACCCAUCACGCAUCUCGAUGUUUUGAGGGUGUCGCAGCACCUCCGCGAGGUAAGGGUUGAUGACCUUCUCGAAAAACUUGUCCUUGGAAGCACUUGGGGUCGUCAUGAUGAUCUAGACCUGUCAGAAAAAUAGCUCGAAACAAGAAUAGGGGGGAUUUGCGUGAUACGGGAGUCAAAACCUCCGGGAGUAUAUAUAAUGAAUUUUUACCGACCAAAAUAUGUAUCGUGCAAGGAAACGGAGUCCGGAGGGCACACGAGGUGCUCACGAGGUAGGGGGGUGCGCCUAGGGGGGUAGGGCGCGCCCUCCACCCUCAUGGAGGCCUUGUGUCCUCCCCAGACUGUUACUUAUUUUUCUAUUUUUCUAAAUAUUCCAAAACGGAGAAUUAUUGCCUUAAAAAAUUGUUUUGGAGUCGGUUUACUUACCUUACCACAUACCUAUUCCUUUUCGGAGUCUGGAACAUUUUGGAAAGUGUCCUUUAUGUACUCCUCCGGGUUUACGGUUUCAAUAAUAUCAGUUUCAACAUUUAUAGGAUUACGUGAGAUAUAGUGUUUGAUCCUUUGGCCGUUUACCACCUUCGGAUUUGUGCCUGCGAAGUUGUUGAUUUUUAUGGCACCAGAACGAUAGACCUCCUCGAUAACGUAAGGGCCUUCCCAUUUGGAGACAAGUUUUCCUGCAAAAAAAUCUUAAACGAGAGUUGUAUAGCAAUGCAUAAUCACCUACAUUAAACUCACGCUUUUGUAUCCUUUUGUCAUGCCACCUUUUAACUUUUUCCUUAAACAACUUGGCAUUUUCAUAAGCUUGGGUUCUCCAUUCAUCAAGUGAGCUAAUAUCAAAUAACUUCUUCUCACCGGCAAGUUUGAAAUCAUAGUUGAGCUCCUUAAUAGCCCAAUAUGCCUUAUGUUCUAGUUCGAGAAGUAAAUGACAUGCCUUUCCAUAAACCAUUUUAUACGGAGAUAUACCCAUAGGACUUUUAUAUGCAGUUCUAUAGGCCCAUAAUGCAUCAUAAAGUUUUUUGGACCAAUUCUUCCUAGACCUAUUGAUAGUCUUUUGCAAAAUUAAUUUGAGCUCUCUAUUGCUCUAUUCUACCUGACCACUAGACUGCUGGUGAUAUGGAGAUGCAAUCCUAUGAUUAACGUCGUAUCUAGCAAGCAUCUUACGGAAAGCACCAUGAAUAAAAUGUGAACCACCAUCAGUCAUUAAUUAUCUAGGGACUCCAAACCUCGGAAAAAUAACUUCCUUAAGCAUUUUAAUAGGAGUGUUAUGAUCAGCACUACUAGUUGGAAUAGCUUCUACCCACUUAGUAACGUAAUCAACAGCAACUAGAAUAUGAGUGUAACCAUUAGAGGCAGGAAAAGGUCCCAUAUAAUCAAAGCCCCAAACAUCAAAUGGCUCAAUAACAAGUGAAUAAUUCAUAGGCAUUUCUUGACGUCUACUAAUAUUGCCAAUUCUUUGACAUUCAUCGCAAGAUAAAAUAAACUUACGGGCAUCCUUGAAGAGAGUAGGCCAAUAAAAACAGGAUUGCAAUACCUUAUGUGCAGUUCUAUCCCCAGCGUGGUGCCCUCCAUAAGCUUCGGAGUGACACUUGCAUAGGAUCUGUUCCUGUUCAUGCUCAGGUACACAACGUCUAAUAACACCGUCUACUCGUUUAUAAAGAUGUGGGUCAUCCCAAAAGUAGUGUCGCAAGUCAUAGAAAAACUUUUUCUUUUGUUGAUAUGUGAAGCUAGGCGGUAUAGAUUUAGCAACAAUACAAUUAGCAUAAUCAACAUACCACGGAGUGCUACGAGAAGUACUUAUGACAUUUAAUUGCUCAUCAGGAAAACUAUCAUCAAUAGGUAGUGGGUCAUCAAGAACAUUCUUUAGCCUAGACAAUUUGUCUGCAACGGGGUUCUCAGCUCCCUUUCUAUCAACAAUAUGUAAAUCAAAUUCUUGAAGCAAGAGAACCCAUCUAAUGAGUCUAGGUUUUGCAUCUUUUUUUCCAUAAGAUAUUUAAUAGCAGCAUGAUCUGUAUGGAUAGUUACUCUAGAAUCAACAAUAUAGGGUCUGAAUUUAUCACAAGAAAAUACAACCGCUAAAAGUUCCUUUUCGGUAGUAGCAUAAUUUCUUUGAGCAUUGUCUAGAGUCUUACUAGCAUAAUGGAUAACAUUCAAUUUCUUAUCAACUCUUUGCCCAAGAACAGCACCUACAGCAUAAUCACUAGCAUCACACAUAAUUUCAAAGGGUAAAUUCCAAUCAGGUGGCUGAACAACAGGUGCAGAGACUAAUGCUUUCUUAAGUUUUUCAAACGCUUCUACACAAUCAUCAUCAAAGACAAAUGGUACAUCUUUUUGUAAUAAAUUAGUUAGAGGCCGAGAGAUUUUUGAGAAGCCCUUGAUGAACCUCCUAUAAAAUCCAGCGUGACCGAGGAAACUUCUUAUACCUUUGAUGUCCUUGGGACAUGGCAUCUUUUCAAUAGCAUCAACCUUGGCUUUAUCAACUUCAAUACCUCUUUCAGAAACUUUGUGCCCCAAGACAAUACCUUCAUUAACCAUAAAGUGGCACUUUUCCCAAUUCAAGACAAGAUUAGUUUCUUCACAUCUCUGCAAAACUCGAGCGAGAUUGCUCAAGCAAUCAUCAAAAGAGGAACCAUAGACGGAAAAGUCAUCCAUGAAAACCUCACAAAUUUUCACACAAAAGUCAGAGAAUAUAGCCCUCAUGCAUCUUUGAAAGGUAGCAGGUGCAUUACAUAAACCAAAAGGCAUACAUAUAUAAGCAAAAGUACCAAAAGGGCAUGUAAAAGUAGUCUUUGAUUGAUCUUUAGCCGAUACAGGUAUUUGAGAAAAACCAGAAUAACCAUCUAGAAAGCAAUAAUGUGUAUGUUUGCAUAGUCUUUCUAACAUUUGAUCAAUAAAAGGUAAGGGGUAAUGAUCUUUCUUAGUAGCCUUAUUUAUUUUGCGGAAAUCAAUUACCAUCCUAUAACCCGUGAUAAUUCUUUGCGGAAUCAAUUCAUCUUUAUCAUUAGGGACAAUAGUAAUACCUCCCUUCUUAGGGACACAAUGGACAGGACUUACCCACUGACUAUCAGCAACAGGAUAAAUUAUACCUUCCUCCAGAAGCUUGAGUAUUUCUUUUCUUACUACUUCUUUCAUUUUAGGAUUCAAACGUAGUUGAGGAUCACAAACUGGUUUGGCAUCAGCUUCCAAGUUUAUUUUAUGUUGACAUAGAGUGGGACUGAUGCCCUUAAGAUCAUCCAGAGUAUAUCCAAUAGCGGCAUGAUGUUUCUUCAGAGUCUUCAAUAAUCUUUCUUCUUCAUGCUCUGAAAGGUUAGCGCUAAUAAUAACAGGAUAUAUUUUCUUUUCAUCAAGAUAAGCAUAUUUAAGAUUAUCAGGCAAUGGUUUAAGCUCAAACACAGGAUCACCCUUGGGUGGAGGGGGAUCCCCUAGGAUUUCAACAGGCAAAUUGUGUUGCAGAAUAGGUUCCUAGUUAAAGAAUACUUCAUCUAUUUCCUGUCUUUCAUUCAUGAACAUAACAUUUUCAUGGUCUAGCAAAUAGUGUUCUAGAGGAUCACUAGGAGGUACAGCAAUAGAAGCAAGACCAAUAAUUUCAUCCUUACUAGGAAAUUCUUCCUCACGAUGUUGUUUACUAAAUUUAGAGAAAUUAAACUCAUGGACCAUAUCGUCCAAGCCAACAGUAACAACAUUCUUUUUGCGGUCUAUCUUAGCGUCUAUAGUAUGCAAGAAGGGUCUACCAAAUAUAAUGGGACAAAAGCUAUCUUGUGGAGAACCAAGAACAAGAAAAUCAGCGGGACAUUUGGUUUUCCCACACAAGACUUUAACAUCUCUAACAAUUCCCAUUGGAGCUAUGGUAUCUCUAUUGGCAAGUUUGAUUGUAACAUCAAUAUCUUCUAACUCAGAAGGUGCAAUCUCAUGCAUAAUUUCUUUGUAUAAGUCAAAGGGUAUAACACUAGCACUAGCACCCAUAUCACAUAGGCCAUGAUAACAAUGAUCUCCUAUUUUAACAGAAAUAACAGGCACGCCUACCACAAGUCUAUGUUUAUCUCUAUCACAAGGUUUGGCAAUUCUAGCAGUUUCACCAGUGAAUUGAAUAACAUGCCCAUCAAUAUUAUUAGACAAGAGAUCUUUAACAAUAGCAAUAUUGGGUUCUACUUUGACUUGCUCAGGAGGUGUAUAUGUUCUAAUAUUGCUUUUACAAACAACAGUUGAAGCUUUAGCAUGAUCCUUCAUUCUAACAGGGAAAGGGGGUUUCUCAACAUAAGAAGUAGGAAUAAUAGGAUCAUUAUAAGUGACAAUCUUUUCUUCAACUUUAAUAGGUACAGAUACUUUUACUUCUAUGGGAGGAUGAUAUUUAAACCACUUCUCCUUGGGGAGAUCAACAUAAGUAGAAAAAGAUUCACAGAAAGAAGUUACUAUCUCAGAGUCAAGUCCACAUUUAGUGCUAAACUUACGGAAAAUAUCGGUAUCCAUAAAAGAUUUAACACAAUCAAACGUAGGUGUCAUACCUGACUCCUUACCUUCGUCGAGGUCCCAAUCUUCAGAGUUGCAUUUAAAUCUAUCCAACAAAUUCCAUCCAAAUUCAAUAGACUUCAUCAUAAAAGAGCCAGCACAAGAAGUAUCGAGCAUAGUGCGAUUAUUAGCAGAAAGCCGAGCAUAAAAAUUCUGGAGAAUUGUCAAUUUUGAGAGCUCAUGAUUGGGGCAUGAAUAUAACAUUGAUUUAAGCCUCCCCCAAGCUUGAGCGAUGCUUUCUCCUUCGUGAGGCCAAAAAUUGUAUAUAUAAUUGCGAUCACGAUGAACAAGAUGCAUAUGGUAAUACUUUUGAUGAAAUUCCAGUUUCAAUCUUUUAUAGUUCCAUGAUCUCGUAUCAUCACAUAGCCUGUACCAUGUCAAUGUGUCUCCCUCCAAAGAUAAAGGGAAAGCCUUCCUCUUAACGGCAUCGUCGGGUAUACCUGCAAGCUUAAAUAGUCCACAAAUAUCAUCGACAAAGCGUAGAUGUUCGUCAGGAUGCUUUGUUCCAUCUCCUGCGAAAGUGUUAUCUAGCAGUUUUUCCAUCAUACCCGAAGGAAUCUGAAAAGCAGUUUCAUUUUCAAUAGAUUCAAUAGGUUCAGUAGGUUGAGGAGCAACUCUUGUCUCAACGGGACGGGGUGAAGAUACCCCGAACAAGCCCCUCAAACAAUUACUUUCCAUAGUAACAAGUGACAGAAAAUUUCAGCACACUAAAUAAAUUUUUCCUUACCAAAUUCCACCUACCAAAGGCGCUUCACUCCCCGGCAACGGCGCCAGAAAAGAGUCUUGAUGACCCACAAGUAUAGGGGAUCUAUCGUAGUCCUUUCGAUAAGUAAGAGUGUCGAACCCAACGAGGAGCAGAAGGAAAUGAUAAGCGGUUUUCAGCAAGGUAUUCUCUGCAAGUACUGAAAUAAGUGGUAACAAAUAGUUUUGUGAUAGGAUAAAUUGCAACGAGCAACAAGUAACAAAAGUAAAUAAAGUGCAUCAAGGUGGCCCAAUCCUUUUUGUAGCAAAGGACAAGCCUGGGCAAACUCUUAUAAUAGGAAAAGCGCUCCCGAGGACACAUGAGAAUAUCGUCAAGCUAGUUUUCAUCACGCUCAUAUGAUUCACGUUCGGUACUUUGAUAAUUUGAUAUGUGGGUGGACCGGUGCUUGGGUACUGCCCUUACUUGGACAAGCAUCCCACUUAUGAUUAACCUCUAUUGCAAGCAUCCGCAACUACAACAAAAGUAUUAAGGUAAACCUAACCAUAGCAUGAAACAUAUGGAUCCAAAUUAGCCCCUUAUGAAGCAACAAAUAAACUAGGGUUUAAGCUUCUGUCACUCUAGCAACCCAUCAUCUACUUAUUACUUCCCAAUGCCUUCCUCUAGGCCCAAAUAAUGGUGAAGUGUUAUGUAGUCGACGUUCACAUAACACCACUAGAGGUUAGACAACAUACAUCUUAUCAAAAUAUCAAACGAAUACCAAAUUUACAUGACUACUAAUAGCAAGACUUCUCCCUUGUCCUCAGGAACAAACGUAACUACUCACAAAGCAUAUUCAUGUUCAUAAUCAGAGGGGUAAUAUUGUGCAUAAAGGAUCUGAAUAUAUGAUCUUCCACCAAAUAAACCAACUAGCAUCAACUACAAGGAGUAAUCAACACUACUAGCAACCUACUAGCACCAAUCCCGGACUUGGAGACAAGAAUUGGAUACAAGAGAUGAACUAGGGCUUGGAGAUGAGAUGGUGCUGGUGAAGAUGUUGAUGGAGAUUGCCCUCUCCCGAUGAGAGGAGCGUUGGUGAUGACGAUGGUGAUGAUUUCCCCCUCCCGGAGGGAAGUGUCCCUGGCAGAACAGGUCUGCCGGAGCCCUAGAUUGGUUCCGCCAAGGUUCCGCCUCGUGGCGGCGGAGUCUCGUCCUGAAAGGCUGCUUGUUAUUUUUUUCUCAUCGAAAGACUUCAUAUGGGAGAAGAUGGGCGUCGGAGAGCCACCAGGGGGCCCACGAGGUAGGGGGCACGCUCAGGGGGGGCACCCUCGUGAGCAGGGUGUGGCCCUCCUGGCCUUCAUCUUUGGCGACGAUUUUUCUUUAUUUAUUCUAAGAUAUUCCAUAGAGUUUUAGGACUUUUGGAGUUGCGCAGAAUAGUCCUUCAAUAUUUGCUCCUUUUCCAGCCCAGAAUUCUAGCUGCCGGCAUUCUCCCUCUUCAUGUAAACCUUGUAAAAUAAGAAAGAAUAGCCAUAAGUAUUGUGACAUAACGUGAAAUAACAGCCCAUAAUGCAAUAAAUAUUGACAUAAAAGCAUGAUGCAAAAUGGACGUAUCACGCCCCCACCCUCGUGGGCCCCUCGAGCGUCCACCGACCUACUUCUUCCUCCUAUAUAUACACCCGUACCCUGAAACCAUCAGAAGCGACCACAAAAACCCAAUUCCACCACCGCAACCUUCUGUAUCCGCAAGAUCCCAUCUUGGAGCCUUCACCGGCGCUCCACCAGAGGGGGAAUCGACCAUGGAGGGGCUCUACAUGAUCUCCAAGGCCCUUCCGAUGAGUUGUGAGUAGUUUACCACUGACCUUCGGGUCCAUAGUUCUCUCUCUUUGAAUCUCAAUACAAAGUUCUCCUCGAUCUUCUUGGAGAUCUAUUGAUGUAAUUCUUUUUGCGGUGUGUUUGUCGAGAUCUGAUGAAUUGUGGGUUUAUGAUCAAGUUUAUCUAUCAGAAAUAUUUGAAUCUCCUCUGAAUUCUUUUAUGUGUGAUUAUGUUAUCUUUGCAAGUCUCUUCGAAUUAUCAGUUUGGUUUGGCCUACUAGAUUGAUCUUUCUUGCAAUGGGAGAAGUGCUUGUCCUUUCCCAGUUACAACAGGGGCAGCAAGGCAUGUAUUGUAUUGUUGCCAUCGAGGAUAAAAAGAUGGGGUUUAUAUCAUAUUGCAUGAGUUUAUCCCUCUACAUCAUGCCAUCUUUCUUAACACGUUACUCUGUUCUUUAUGAACUUAAUACUCUAGAUGCAGGCAGGAGUCAGUCAAUGUGUGGAGUAAUAGUAGUAGAUGUAGGCAGGAGUCGAUCUACUUGUCACGGACGUGAUGUCUAUAUACAUGAUCAUGCCUAGAUAAUCUCACAAAUAUUCACUUUUCUAUCAAUUGCUCGACAGUAAUUUGUUCACACACCGUAAUACUUAUGCUAUCUUGAGAGAAGCCAUUAGUGAAACCUAUGGCCCCCGGGUCUAUCUUUUAUCAUGUAAGUUUACCAUCUACUUUUAUUUGCAUCUUUAAUUUUCAAUCUAUAUAAUAAAAAUACGAAAAAUAUUUAUCUUAUCAUAUUAUCUCUAUCAGAUCUCACUUUCGCAAGUGGCCCUGAAGGGAUUAGCAACCCCUUUAUUGCGUUGGUUGCAAGGUUCUUGUUUGUUUGUGUAGGUGCGUGGGACUUUUGAGGAGCCUCCUACUGGAUUGAUACCUUGGUUCUCAAAAUUGAGGGAAAUACUUACGCUACUUUGCUGCAUCACCCUUUCCUCUUCAAGGAAAACCAACGCAAGCUUAAGACGUAACAAGAAGGAUUUCUGGCGCCGUUGCCGGGGAAGUCUUCGCUCAAGUCAAGACAUACCAAGUACCCAUCACAACCUCAUCUUCCUCGCAUUACAUUAUUUGCCAUUUGCCUGUCGUUUUCCUCUCCCCCACUUCACGCUUGCCGUUUUAUUCACCCUUCUUCUAUUCGUCUUUUCGUUUGCUUUGAUGUCUUACUUGGCUCGUUUGCUUGUUUGGUUGGAAUAGUUGUUUAUUUAUUGCUAAAUAGAGAACCUAAGAUCUAUGGAUCCUCAUCCACUUGCUAAUCUUUUUAAGAGAUCCAAUUAUGAUGAACCAUUUGCUAGUGAGUUCUGUGCACCAGAUUAUCUUUAUGAAGUUUUGCUUGAAAUUUGUGAAUCUGAAAAUUGUGAUGAAGUACUUUAUGAAGAGAUUCAUGAUAGGUCCUUGAAUAAAAAGCAUUAUUGCAAUGAUUUUACUAUAAAUUCUCUUGAUGUCAAUUGUGCUAAUAAUAUGCAAAGCCCUAAGCUUGGGGAUGCUAGUUUUGCUAUGUCUACUACUUGUUGCAAUAAUAUUGAAAGGUUUGGAAGAGUGUCAACUUUAGAUCCCACAUAUUUGGAGAAUAUUCAAUCUUAUGAAAUUUUUGAUAAAAGUGGGUUUGGAGAGGUCAUGACUUUAGUUAAUGUUAAUCCCACUAUUUUGGAAGAGUGUCAACUUCGCAUGCAUGUGGAUCGUGUUGAAAAGAUGUUAUGUGAUAGCUAUUUUGUUGAAUUUGCUUAUCAUCCUACAUGUAAUUAUUAUGAGAGAGGAAAAUAUAGUUGUAGAAAUUUUCAUGUUACUGAUGUCUACUACACAACCUUCUUCUUGUAGACGUUGUUGGGCCUGCAAGUGCACAUGUUUGUAGGACAGUAGCGAAUUUCCCUCAAGUGGAUUACCUAAGGUUUAUCAAUCCGUAGGAGGCGUAGGAUGAAGAUGGUCUCUCUCAAACAACCCUGCAACCAAAUGACAAAGAGUCUCUUGUGUCCCCAACACACCCAAUACAAUGGUAAACUGUAUAGGUGCACUAGUUCGGCGAAGAGAUGAUGAUAAGUGCAAAAUAGAUAGUAGAUAUAGGUUUUUGUAAUCUGAAAUAAUAAAAACAGCAAGGUAACAAGCGGUAAAAGUGAGCGUAAACGGUAUUGCAAUAAUAGGAAACAAGGCCUAGGGUUCAUACUUUCACUAGUGCAAGUUCUCUCAACAAUAAUAACAUAGAUAGAACAUAUGACAAGCCCUCAACAUGCAACAAAGAGUCACUCCAAAGACACUAAUAGCGGAGAACAAACGUAGAGAUUAUGGUCGGGUACGAAACCACCACAAAGUUAUUCUUUCGGAUCAAUCUAUAAAAGAGUUCGUACUAGAAUAACACCUUAAGAUACAAAUCAACCAAAACCCUAAUGUCACCUAGAUACUCCAUUGUCACCUCAAGUAUCCGUGGCAUGAUUAUACGAUAUGCAUCACACAAUCUCAGAUUCAUCCAACCAACAUAAAAGUACUUCAAAGAGUGCCCCAAAGUCUCUACCGGAGAGUCAAGAACGUGUGCCAACCCCUAUGCAUAGGUUCAUGGGUGGAACCCGCAAGUUGGUCACCAAAACAUACAUCAAGUGGCACAUGAUAUCCCAUUGUCACCACAGAUAAUCACGGCAAGACAUACAUCAAGUGUUCUCAUAAAGACUCAAUCCGAUAAGAUAACUUCAAAGGGGAAACUCAAUUCAUCACAAGAGAGUAGAGGGGGAGAAACAUCAUAAGAUCCAACUACAAAAGCAAAGCUCGGGAUACAUCAAGAUCGUGCCAUAGAGGAACACGGGAGAGAACACGAGAGAGCAAGAUCAAACAAAUAGCUACUGGUACAUACCCUCAGCCCCGAGGGUGAACUACUCCCUCCUCGUCAUGGAUAGCGCCGGGAUGAUGAAGAUGGCCUCCGGUGAUGGGAUCCCCCUUCGGCAGGGUGCCGGAACAGGGUCCCGAUUGGUUUUUGGUGGCUACAGAGGCUUGUGGCGGCGGAACUCCCGAUCUAUCUUCUGUUCUGGAAGUUUUAGGGUACGUAGGUAUAUAUGGGUGCAGGGGGUACAUCGGUGGACCUCCAGGUUGCUCACGAGGUAGGGGGCGCGCCCAGGGGGGACCCUCCACUCUCGUGGGCAGCCCGGGACUCCCGUGGCGUGCACUCCAAGCCCAUCAGGUUGGUUUCCUUCCAAAAUUAACUUCUCUAGUUGAUUUCCUUCCGUUUUGACUCCGUCUGAUAUUCCUUUUCCUCGAAGCACUGAAAUAGGCAUAAAACAACAAAUCUGGGCUGGGCCUCCGGUUAAUAGGUUACUCCCAAACAUAAUAUAAAAGUGGAUAAUAAAGCCCAAUAUUGCCUAAAACAGUAGAUAAAGUAGCAUGGAGCAAUCAAAAAUUAUAGAUACGUUGGAGACGUAUCAAGCAUCCCCAAGCUUAAUUCCUGCUCGUCCUCGAGUAGGUAAAUGAUAAAAAAGAAUUUUUGAUGCGGAGUGAUACUUUGGCAUAAUUUCAAUGUAAAUCUUCUUAAUUGUGAUAUGAAUAUUCAGAUCCGAAAGAUUCAAGACAAAAGUUCAUAUUGAUACAAAAAUAAUAAU